Molecule: long non-coding RNA, 55123 nt
Filed under: Ananas comosus (pineapple)
Lineage: Eukaryota; Viridiplantae; Streptophyta; Magnoliopsida; Poales; Bromeliaceae
Description: long non-coding RNA (ACOM_LNC015876)
Source: RNAcentral
ACGCGCGCGCACACACACACCUACAUCUCUCUCUCUCUCUCACUCACUCUCACACACGGGCGCGCGCGCGCACACACACACACACACAAGUCUAAUUCCAUGUGCCAUUCACUUGACCUACAUCUCUCUCUCUCUCACUCACUCUCACACACGCGCACACACACACACACUCACGAAUUUUAUUUCACACACACACACACACUCACGAAUUUUCUAUGAACAUUGAACUUGUUAUGUUUUUUUAAUUGAUUAACAUAACGCACACCACACUACUGAAAAAGCCCGUCGAAAAUUGAUGAUUAGUUUCUUAUGAAAGAUUAUAUAAUAAGGAGAAGCUUAAUAUGCUCUUUGUCCAAGUUGUAUUUUAAGUUCAAACAAUCAAACCAACUUUCGGAAAAAAAACUGUUUUUAAAUAGGGAGAAAGACUAGUUGGUUUGAAGACCUGGAUUGGGGUUGUAGCUAGUUGAGGACAAAUUAAAUCAAGGGUAUAUAUAAGCAAAUCUCUUUAUGCACCGUUAUAUAAUUAAUAUAAGGAGGUAUUUAUAGAAUAUUGCCCAACCGAUCCUUUUUGCUACUUAAGUAAGGUUCAAAAUGCAUGACUAGAAAAUUGCCAUCUAGGCAUAUAAAGAACACGAGACACGAUGCGACUCGGACAUGAUGAUUUGACAAUUUUUAAAAAAUUAGAACACAGAUACGACAUGAACAUGCAACGAUAAUAAAAUAUAAUAUUAGUAAUAUAAUAUAUAUAUACUUAUUAUAUAUAAAAUAUUAAUUUUGAUAAAAUAUUGUUAUAUUUUUCAUACGAAUUGAAAUUCAUAAAAUUUUCAUUAGCACUUCAUAAAUUUUAAGAAAAUAAAUUCUCCACCAUAAAUUUUCAUUGGCACUUCAUAUAUUCAUCAAAAAGCUAAAAUAUUUAUAAUCUUACAUUAUAUAUGAAUAAAAAAAUUAUAUAUAUAUAUAUAUAUAUAUAUAUAUAUAUAUAUAUAUAUAUAUAUAUAUAUAUAUAUAUAUAUCAAUUAUAUGCGUUAUGUAUCAGCAUUGAACGCGUGUCCAAAAAGUGUCCACAUCAAACACAAGUCCGACACGGACACGUGAGGCUUAUAGAAAUGUUCAUGAUAUAUAGAUUGCCAUACAUGUACGAGCAUAGAAGUGUUAACUAGAUAAUUCACUUAGUGAUCUAAGGAACAUAAAAAAAAAAAGAAGAGUAAUCACUCUAGCUAGCUAACUAAACUGUUCUUCUUUUUUUUUUAAUUUUUUAAGGUGUUCUAUAUUUCUAUACAGAUUAUUAAAGUAGAGAACACAAAAAAGAGUCUAAGAUUAAGAAGUAAAUGGCCACCUGCAUGCAAUAGCCUGUACAUAUAAUAAACUUUUUUGCUACAUAAGUAGGUAUUUCUAUUAUUGUUAUAUAUUUAUAGGAUAAACAUCUCUAUUAUAGUGAAUGCAAAAGAUUCUUAUUAUCUCCCUGAAAGGUGCAUAUUAUAAAUGCUUACACAUGGACUUUUCAUUUCGGCUUCCUCAAUUGACAAGUAAAAGGAAGAUAUAAAUAUAUUAAGUGUACGUUGUUCAUAUUUAUUGAGUUGUACAAUUUCUUCUUCUUCUUCUUCUUCUUCGAACUCCUGCUUUUUUUUUUUCCUCUUUUUUUUUUUGUGUGGACAAUUCCAACAUGCACAAGCCCAUUAAUUGAUUCCAAAAGCCCUGUAUCCUGAGCAACAUGUGCACAGGACAUAUAUUAUAUAGGAAUAAUUUCAUAGAUGCCCCUCUAGAAACUAUUAAUUUCAUCAAUACCCUUCCAAAAUUAAUAAUAUCACAAAUACCCUCCAAAAUGUGAAAAAUUAUCAUAAAUACCCUCCUCUAGUUAAGAUUCAUUAAAGCCCAUUUGAAUCGGAGUUAAAUUUUUAAAAUACCAUUUUUACCCUUUAUCUCUUUUUAAUAGUAGAAAUACUAAUAGGUAUUUCAAAAUAAUUUUUGUAAAUCUAAAUUUGAGUAUUUAAUAUAUAAAUAGUUAAUUAAAUUAUUAAUAUAUAUUAAUUAAUAAAAAAUAUAUAAAAAUUGUAUUUUAAAUAUAGUAUGUUUUUAUCUGAUUUUGGUUUUGUUUUUGGUUUUGGGUUUCGGUUCAGAUUCGGUUUAAAUAUAGACCAAAACUAUAUAACUGAAUUUACAUACGACGGGAUUUUAUUUUUUGGUAUCUAUAACUAAAACUAUCCCCUAUUCAGCAUUGAUUAAACUUAUCCCAUUUUAAAUCGAGUUUAGAUAAAAUUCCGUAUCUAUAUCAAUUCACAUUCCUAAUUAGUAAUAGUAAUUUUGAAAUAAAUUAUAGAUUUUAUUUUUUUCCUAUUUAAAAAUAAAUCACAUAAUUGUUUUGUCGAUUGAAAUAAAAAGAGAGUUUUGUUCAAAAGCUAAAAUAUAUUAUAUUUCAGUUUUUUAAUACACUUAAUGCAGAUAAAAUUAUCGAGAAUAAUUUUGAUUAAAAAAUUUUUUAAGUUUUCAAGAUUAAAGAAAGAUCGGAUAAUUCCUUAACAUUAUUUUCAUUUAAAUUUUUAUAUAUAGUUAUUUAUUUGAUAAAAAAUAAAUAGAGCCAUUAGAUUUGGUAAAAUCAUCAAAAAAAACUAAAAAAUUUUUUUUUUUUUAUACACUGAAAUUAGGUUUUUUUUAUAAAUAAAAAGUUAAUGGGAUAUCAACUAAAAAAUGAAAGUUGAGGGAGCUGUUUCAAAAUGCAUAUAGUUGAGGGGGUUUCCACACAUUUUUAGUUAAAAGAUAUUUGAGGGUAAAUAAGUCAUUUUAAAAAUUAACCCAUCUUUAACCAUGUAAUAACUAUAGUAAAACUAACCUAACUAACAGUAGGGGUAUUAAUGAUAAUUUUUUGUGUUUAUAGGGGUAUUGGUGAUAUUUUAAACUUUAUAGGGGCAUCUAUGAUAUUUUAAACUUUGGGAGGGGUAUCCAUGAAAUUGCCCCUAUUAUAUAUUAGCUGAUGAUCCCGUGCAUUAUGAGAAGUGCUAGAUGUACAACCCUCUUUGGACUGUAAUUCUACAACUUUUCUUGUUCAAAUGCCUCUUUUUUUUUUUUUCUUCCACUUGUUUUAUCACUUUUUUUUUCCUUUUUUUUUACGAAAAAUUGAAAUUGGGUCGGUAAAUCUUAUAAUACUUGGACGAGGAGUUAUAAGAAUUACAAUCUAUUUUGAUUGUAGGCUUAGCAUUUUUCAUGCAUUAGAUAAGUUAUAAAUGCGAUAGUACCAUGUAUCCCAAUAAUUUGGUAUAGUGGGGUGAUUGCAUUAAUAAAGCGCAUUGCACAUGCUUCUCACUUUCUUGCACAAGAAGGUAAAGAGAGAGACUUUUGUACCACAAAGAAGAGGAAAAAGAGAGAGACAUUUCGUAGCCCAUUGAAGGUAGAGAACAAGUUCAAUUUCCAAGGCAGAUAACCUACCACAAUUGGACAAUCUUGACUUACUAGGCAUAUUUAUAUGUAAGUAGCUUGUGCUUUGCAAACUCUAUGAGGAAUGUAACGUACAAUCAAAUUAUUACUGCGUAUAAUAACAAGAACCGUGUUGAAUAUCUUUGUAUGUACGUAAAAUUUAGUUGAUGAAUCAGUUUUUGCAUGCAUAUAUCUAAGAGUUCGGUAGUGAUUAAUUCUCUAACUGUUGAUGUAUAUGCAUAGUUUAGGUCGGGCGUCUUAGAGUCAUAACUUGAAUUAAUUUAAAAAACUAAACUAAUGAUUUACGAUCAUAUUGUGUCUAAAAAUAACUCACGAAUUCAAUUUAGAAAUACAUUGUAAUACAUACAAUAUGGGUUUUAUGCAGGUCUCUAUCUUUGUACCUAUCAUGAUAUUAGAAUAGCGUACACCGACCAGUGCAUAGCUAGCUAGAAAAUUGGGCGCUGUCACUACCAUGUCCCUGUAACAGUUGCACUACGAAAUGUAGGAUUGAAAAAUCUUAAUCCAAUCAAAUCUUAUCAUCUAUCGUACAUAUUUAUCAUUUUUAACAGCAAUGAUCACUAUAAUAAUUUUAAAUCCGACCUCCUCCGAAUCUUAUGAUUUGUAAGAUAAUAAAUUUAUCGAUAGAAAAAAAAGAAGUUGUAUGGAAUCUUAAUAUAUGGAAGAUAUUGUUUCGUGGAACACUUUAUCUUUAUAGAUACGAUGACGAGCGAAAACGAAAGGGAGAUGAAUCAAGCUAAACACGUGAAAGAGUUGGGCUCCAAUCUCUACAAAGAUUGCACGAAUCUCAGUCGCCGCUCAAACGUCGCUUAAUGGAUAUAUAAUUGAGAUCUUUCUUAAAGCGACUCCACGAUGGCCACGUCACCAUCCACUUCCAUGCACGUUACGAGUUCAAAGUCAUGCAUGCAAACAAGCCUCACGAAAAGCACAUCAUCAACUACUUAUCUUACUUACGUAUAUAGUUUGGUGAGUCGUGUGAUUGACAGUUUGUUCAAAGUUUUAAAACUCUAUUUUAAUAUAAAAGUUUUGAUUUGAAUCUUAAUACUGUAUUGGAUGAUGAAUUUAGGGGAUCCUAGAGGGAGAGAACGAGUCGUUCCUUCCCCGUUCAAGCUAUUAACUGCCGUGGAAUUUUAUAGAAAAAUUAUUGUAUAUAUCUACUGUAGUGGAUGCAUCCAUAGUAUUUAAAUUUUAUAUUAGAAGCUCUCAUAUUUAUAUUUAAUUUGUUAAAUAUUAUAUAUAAUACUUAAAAACGAGCACAUACAUAGUUUAAUUAUAUAUUACCGCUUAGAUUAGUUGGUAUCUUAAUUACAUGAUAGUAAUAUAGUAGAUAUAAGGCUGUGAUUGGGUUCUAGCUCUAAGCAAAAGAAUACGUGUCGGAUCAACAUAUAUUUUAAAUUUUAAUUUCAAUAUAUUUUGAUGUUUGCUAGUUAAUAGCUAGAUUUAUUUUUUUUUUGAGAAAUAGGUAGCAAGCUACCUGCUUCAUUCAUUAAGCAAAAUAAACUAAGCGUACAAAAUGGAAGCAGCCAGGGCCUCCGAAAGAACAGGCAAAAAGGAUGAAAUAAAAUUGAAAGGCAGAAAGAAAACAAAAAGAACAAAAAAAAGGAAAAAAGGAAGGGUGUUAAUAGGGAGAGAAGGGAUAGUAGCUGGAGCCGAAACAACACAUCACAGCAAAGAGUUCCAGUCGUUUAGCAGAAGUUUGACACGUUCAAGAGACCGGGUAGCGUUGUGCGUGGUUCCUCGGAAAAUUGCGUUAUUUCUAUCUGUCCAGAUCACCCACCAAGUUGCAGCGAGGAGGGUCAAGCGUCGUGUUCUUGAAGAGUCGACCGGAAUGUCACACGAUCCAGUCCAGAGAGUGUUGACGUCGCCCGUGCUGUCAUCAAAUGUACCCCAUCCUUUCAUACUGAAGAGCAGGUAUCUUACAUAUACGCAUGUAUAGAAUAGAUGGUCACAGCUUUCCAUGAGUACCGCGCAGAAGACACAGUGCUGAUCAACGAGCAUUCCACGUUUGAGUAGUCUAUCAGCAGUGAGUAAUCUCUUCCGCAAUAGCAACCAAAUGAAGACUUUGAUUUUGGCCGGAAUUUUGAGUUUCCAGAUAUACCGAUUCGUUGGGAUAUACUGUCCCGUGUCUGUGAUGAACUGGUAGAGGGAUUUGACAGUGAACAGUUGAUUGGAGGUCCAUCUCCAUUUAAUUGAGUCUGGACUGUCGUAGGGGCGAUGGCCUCGGAGCAAGUCUUUAAAAGUCGUUAACUGUCUGCGGUUUUCGAUGGAUUGUGACGCCGAGUAGCCGCGGCAUAUAAAGCGCCAUCUCCAUCCGCCGUGGUUCCAGCACUGAGAAACCCGAGCCUCCUUGUUCAUAGAGAUCUGAUAGAUAUCCGGGAAACGAGUGCGAAGGGGGGUUUCCCCUAUCCAGAUGUCAUUCCACAUCCUAAUGUUCCUCCCGUCGCCUAGCUCGUAAGUCACGCCACAGGCGAAAAUGUCUCGACACCGGACCACACCUUUAUUUUUUUCACAAAUUUAACACUAUUAGUUUUUACAACUAUUUACUAUUUGGAUAGGAAAAUUUUAAAAGUAACUCAUUAAAGGUUAGUAGAACAUUAUUUGUCCUCUAAGUACAAGAUCCUUUAAUCGGCGAUCGACAUGUCCCAUUAAUCAAGCGGUCCCCAUGGGACAUGGUGAAUCAAAUAACAUGGAAUCAUAUAGAGACAUACGUAUAGCUUCUGAUUACGUGUGAGAUAUUUGGACCAUGUUGAGAUUGGCUGUAGCAUUUCCACGUCACUAUGAUCUUGUUCCACACGUCUUUUUACAAAGUUGUAGGGCCAAAAGAGUGGGAAUCUACUACAGGUCAUCAAACCUAAUAGUCUUUUGCAAAGUAGAUGCUAACUAAUAAUACAUCAAUUAUAUAGACCUUUGUUUAGACUUGGCAAAUGGGCGAGUUGGAUAAUUUACGGGUGGGUCAUUGUACUAACGGAUUACUUGGACAUGGGUAAAAUUACCAUAAAUUUUUGGAUAGCCAAUAUCUUUACCCAUACCUAGCUGCGGGUGGGCAGCUGGGUAUGCGUUUUACCUGCAAUUUUUUUUNUUUCUCUUAUAUUUUUUAAAUGCAAAACACACACACACACACACACACACAUAUAUAUAUAUUAAAAGCAUAACAUAACUCAUUAUUUAAAAUAUUAUAACUUACAAUAAAAAUAUGUAAAGUUUUAAAACAAAAAUAUUUCAUAAUAUAAAAGACACACGGUAAUAAAUUAGGGUUAAAAUUUUUAAAAUGGAUAAAUAAAAAAAUAUUUUUUAAUUACAAAAUAUAUGUGCGGGUAUCCGUGGAUACCUGCGGGUUAUCAAAAAUAUUCAUAGCUUAAUGGGUGCCCACCUGUUUUACUUGUAAUUUUUUAGGUUGAAAAAGUUGGUAUUCAUACUUGCAAAUUUGCGGGUAAUCUGCGGACACCUGCGGGUAUGGGUCGAGAUUGCCAAGUCUACCUGUGUUGGAAAAUAAUACAAAUUAACCCAAAAUGUUAGUAGUCCGUGCAACAAUAUGAUAUGUUGUUGUAAGUGUAUGAAAUUAGUGCACUGAUCAAAUUAGUUUAGAAACUCAUAUGCAAUAGUAGGUUUAGUUAUUAUCUAGAUUUGUGGAAAUUAAUUAAUAGUAGACUAGUGAUUGAUUUGUGGAAAUAGUGGCUUGGUAAGUGAAGUUCAUGAUGGAGUGAGGUUUUCGAAACUUACGCGCAAUAGUGGGUUUAACGGAGAAAAUUAAUGUGUUGAACGAAAUUUUCUUUGCAAUUUUGUUCUUCAAUUUGUAAUCAUGUUGCUUUCUAGUGUGUUAAAAAAAUUACUUCUUCUAUUCCAUUGUCUUUAUGUACUGUAGCAAUUAAUCUACUAUUUUCUACUUAACUUUUUCUUCCACCACCAACCUGAUCAUAUACUCUAACAAAUUUUGUUUUAAAUUGAUAAUUAAAUAUUAAAUUUGGUCACUAUUAAUCAGUAAUUGAAUAUAACUAAAUCAAACAAAUCUGAUUUAUUCAUAUUAAAAACAGUUUUAUCAAUGUCACUUCCUAUUUAAGAAAGAUCGACUGAUCAAUACUAAAGGGGGGAAUUGGGUCCAUACAGUCCCUUAAUUUUUAUUCUAUUUAACAAAUUAACAAAUGCGUUUGCCUUUUUUAGCUUUGGAUAUGUGGAAAAGCACAUGAGCGGGUAUAUUAGUUAGCAAAGCAAGAGUGGGCGGAAUUUAAUUAAUGCACACCACAUAUAAUUAUGUGAAGCUUGAAAUCUUAGAUUAUCAGUGAAGUAGUUGUCUUGUUGUUUUCUAAUUAAUCAACACAACCAACCUAUUUUUAAGCAGGAAUAGUGCUAGUGAUUGAUGUGAAUUAACAUGAAGGAUUCGCUAAGCAAUUGCUAUGCGAAUUCCACUUAUUAUGGUAGCUAUGAGUAUUCAUUAUCUCAAUUUGACAAGGAGAGAUAUAUAACUAAAUAGUGAUAUAGUUGGCAAUGCAUGAAGAAUUAACUAGUUAAGGUACUCGUAAAUUGAUGCAUGCAAUGUAUGAAGAAUUAACUAGUUAAGGUACUAGUAGAUUGAUGCAUGCAAUCCUUCGAAAAUUUACUCUCAACACACUAAACCAUAAGUUAACAUGUAAUCUACAUAUAAGCGCGCACACAUAUAUAGAGUCGGACUCUCUCUCUCUCUCUCUCUCUCUCUCUCGAUCUAUAUAUACAUGUUUAUACUAAGUGAUCUUAAUUAUAUGGGUUCCAUUAAUUUGUACUUUCAAAAACUUUAUCCCUGCGUACACGUUUCUCUGUGGGAGACCUUUUAGUUCAAAAUCAAUGUGAAUUGGGUGGCUUCCCUGCUUAUAGUAAAGGAUUUUUUCAUGAAUUAAUACAAUUUUAAAUAAGCGCAUGCAUCUAGCUAGUACAUUAGUAGAACCCAAAGUAGCUGAAAAUUAAACAACAUGAUAACAAAAACACUGAUUAAUUGUUCCUAUCAUAUAUAAGUAUCAAAGAGCUUGAUAAUUGGUACCUGAAAUAUCAAAUUUAAAAUUUAAUUACUUCACAUUUAACUAAGUUCAUUUCUUAAAAAUAUAAACAAAGAAUGUAGCAUAUACUUCCAUUCUCUCCCCCUCCCUCCCCCUCCCCAAAAAGAAGAAAACCAAAAAAAAAAAAAAACAAGAUAACAAAAACAACAUAUAUUAAUUGAUCCAAGUAUGGUCUCUUUCCUGGAAACAUAAGGCAAGUGAGUAGGAUAUAUGUCUUUCCCCGAAUCUCUCGAUAUACGGGAGAUUAUAUUCUCCAUUUCAUGAUUUCUUUUUUUUAUAAUAUUUGUGGAUGCUUAUUCUGACAAUCCUUUCCACAAUCCUUUACGGCAAUCGAUUGCCCAACUUGUCCCNUGAAAGAAAGUGAUUCUAGCACAAGCGUGGGAUCGACACAAUGCAAUCAUGGAGCAAAUGGAGCCCAGUCUUAAUUUGGAUUUUGAUGCCUAUUGGUGAUUCACAGGCCCAAGUAAAGAAGUUUUUCCUAUUAUUUGGGGGUUGUAAUGUCAAAGAUUCUUUUUGGUUGUUGUGGUUGUUGUGAAUUAUAUAUAUAUAUAUAUAUAUAUAUAUAUUUUUUUUUUGAGAGAUAGAUAGGAUGUUAUACGCUUCGUUUAUUUUAUUUAGAAAUAAACUUAGCUGAAAAUGUGAAUGAACUAGGAUUCGAAUUUAGAACUUCGGGUACCAAUCAUCAAGUCCUUUAUCACUUGCAUUAAGAACAGUCGGUUAUACAUGUUUGUAAUUGAUCAACAAAAUGUUGAACACCUAGCUAAUUGAAGAUUCGUUUAUUCAAAUAGGAAUAGGAAUUGGAAUCGGAAUCGAAAUCAAAAUAAGUUGGAAUCGGAAUCGGAAUGACUCAUUACUUAAUUCUAUUUGGUUUAUCACCUGAAUCGGAAUCGGAAUAAAUCAUUCCCAUUGUCGGUAUUUGGUUCAGGUGGAUAUAAAAAACGUAAUCAAAUUAAUAUACUAAUAUUGUCUUUAUAAUAUAUUAAUUUAAAUUCAAAUUAAAAAUUAAAUAUUAAAACUUUACAUCAAAAUUUUGAAAUAAUGUCAAAAUUUUAAAUCUAUUCUUUUAAAAAAAAUUUAAACUUUGAAGUUGAGUGGAUAAUUCAAAAUAUGAAACUAAAUUUUGAUUUAUCCAAAUUCAAACUUAAAAUUACAAUUUAAAAUUUAAUUUGAAUCCAUAAAUUUAAUUUAAGUUUGAAAUAAAAUUUGAAUAAAACUUUAUAUAAAUUAAAAUUUAAUUUAAAUUCAAAUUCAUAAGUUAGAUUCGAAAUACUUAAUUAAAUUUUAAUUUUUAAUUUAAGUUCAAAUUAAAAUUUAAAAUUAUAUAUUUAAUUUUUAAAUUUUAGCUCAUAGUUUAAUUAAAAAAGUUGAAAAAAUAAAUUUAAUCGGAAUAAAUAUCCAUUCCGUCCGGAUUCAACUUCCAAUCCGAUUUCCUAGGCCGGAUUGAAAAUAGAGGUGAUUGGGGAAUUCCCAUUCCACUCAGGAAUCGGAAUCGGAAUGGGACUCCCGCGUACCAAACACCCACAAACGGAUUCACCUAUUCCGAUUCCGAUUCCAGAGUGAAAAAGAAGCGAACCAAACACGCCCAUAUGCUAUUGAGGUACUGUUUUAUUAAAGAAGACACAUAUAUAGCUAGGGCAUAAUGGUAUAUACUAGGAUGUAAAUGGUCAAAGUUAUUUGUGUUAAGCUGUACUUGUGCAGGAGUAAGGUACAUUAAAUCUAGUCAAAUUUAUCACUCUGAGUAACGGUUAUAAGGUUCAAUGCAUUUUAAUAUUGUCCAUAACAAAUUUAACUCUGUUAAUCUUAUUAUCUUAGAAAAAAUUGUAGAAAUUUCUUGGUACGUUAAAGGAUAAUCUUCGCUGAGUCAUAUGACUUCUGGAGUACGUAGCUUUAAUUUGUAUCUAACACAAAAGUAGUCAACAAAUGAAGCCUUAGGAGUUUUUAAAUAUGAUGGAUCAUGUAUGAAAUAAACUUCUCAAUCUUACAAAGAGAAGCUUCAAUUUGAAGAUUUAGUUUCUUUUAUGAGAAUUGUUAAAGAUUCUCUUUCAAAUUUGAACAAAAAUGCUUUUGGCAGUUAUUUGAUUAGGUUUUUAUUGAAUAAAUUUACAAGAAAAAGCACUUCGAUCGACAAAGAAAAGCAAAAAAACAUUUUGUUGUGAAGUUUUAGUAUAUAUGUACCACAUACACCAUUAUUUAUUGACAUGUCCGGCCAUUAAGUUGGUCACACUGAUAUUAUUCUGAUUAGCCCGUUUAAUUAGGUUUUGAUCUUACUAUGAAGAUUAAUUUCAUAAUCAAAAUUCAUAGAGCAUGUAGGGUACAACUUUACUAGACAAGUUGAAUAUACAAAGAGGAACAUAUAUAUAUAAGAAGACCAAAUCUUACCACACAGACCAAAAAGUUAUAGAGAAUAUCACAUUUGGUAUUAAAGAAAAAUAAUUGCAUGACUACCUGUAGUAUUCAAUAUAUCGUUCUUAUCUAUCGAUGAAGAUCAUUGCUAUAUUUAGGAGAUUCUCAUACCAGAUAAUUUAGAAGGUAAUAGUGACCUUGAAGAACAAUAAAUUAAGGUGUGUUACUAGAAAAUGAAAAAGAUUUGCUCUGCAAAUCGAGGUCUAUUAAAAUUAUUGGAUUUACCACCAUGGUUUGAAAGUGAUCCUAUGAGAAUGAAAGGUUUGACGUAUUCUUGAUUGAGCUCUAACAUCGAACUAACGCGCUAUUUUUAAGUUAAGUUUACUAUACUAACGAGCAGUUUACACAUCUGUAAAAUUAUUAGGUAUAUUGAAUGAUUCAAGCAUUAAUCUAUACACAUUUAUCUAUUACAUAUAAUGAAUCCUUAGUUUUUACAGGGGUAGCGCGAACGGGAGUGGGGUGGGGUGGGCACACCCCUUUUUUAAUUUUUUAUUUUAUUUUAUUUUCUCUCUUUCUAUUGAUUUGGAGAAGCGGACUUUUUUUGUUUAAUCCAAUUUAAUUUUUCUCUCUGGUUAUAAAAAUUUAAAAUAUAUAAUUAUUUAUGUAUAUUUUUAAAUAGUUUACAUUGCAUGUACUAAAUAUAAAUUUUACUUUUAUAAUAUUGAUCACUUAGAUAUAGAUUGUACAAUAAAAAAUAAAAAAAAGAUGGAUAGAGUUUGAAUUAAUUACUUAUUUAAUAAAUUUAGUCGUAAAAAUUACAUGAAGUACUAAUUAAAUCUGUAAAACUAAACGACGCAUUCAAAAUUUGAAAUCAAAGUAUCAUGAACUGAUGCAAAUCUAACAUAUAAAAAUGUUAGAUAGUAAAAAUAAAAUCUUGAAAGGUUGGAUAACUGAUUUAAAAUAGUUUAUCGUUCAGAAAAGUUCUGUACGUUUUUACUUUGAUUUUAAUGUCAAACUUAGUAUCAUAUUUAUAGUUUGAUGAGCGAUCAAUUUCACAUUUAAAAUAGUUUAGAAUAUCCAAAAUAUAAUUAGUCGAUUUUUAAUUUUAACAAUUGAGUGUUCUAAAAUUUAUUAGAUAGUUUAACAUAUUUUUUUCUCAAAUAAAAUUACUAAUUGAAUACAACCGAUCGAUACUCAAUUCUGUCUUUUUUUUAAAUAAAAUUAAAAUAUAAAAAGAAUUUAAUGACUUAUAUUUUCUUGCUCAAAGUAUGAGACACGUGAAGCUUUAGUUCUUAAACUUUAAUGAGUUGCAAUUUCAGACUUACUAAGUAAUUCUUUUUUAUCCUUUUUAUAUUUUUAUUCUUAUACUUUUACUGCAACAGCUGUUCUUUUUUAUAAUUUUUUAACAUUUAUUUGUUUCUAUGGAAUCGACUGUCGUACAGUGCGGAUACCUUCACUAGUAUAGUUUAAGUAUCCGACGAAAUCGAUGACGGGUUCGGCCACCACACUUCCACUAAGAAAAACAUUGUAGCUCACAUUUGUUUAGCUUGGACUCGUUUUUAGUUAGGAGGAUUAGGUCCAUUAAUUGAACCUCUUUAUACAAACAUUCAAAGCCCAAUAAUCACUUGCACAUAAAAUCAUUCUAGAGUAAGAUCUGAUAAUGCAAAAUUUGUCAAAUCACCCAUGCAUUUGAAGGGUAAUGAUUGUUCCUUUCCCUCUUUGGUAUGACAAUUAGGUGAUCCGCGUACCUGAUCAUUUGCGUCCACUCGAAUUUGUGUACAUUUAAAGGAAAAUUGCAGCUUUAGAGGAGAAAGAUGAAUAGAUCUCAUGUGACCCAACUCGACAGGACCCCACCCAGUUAGACACAAUCACUGAGUAAGGAUUCGGCACCCACGCGCAAAGGACCCAACAUUGUCCUCCUCUCUCUUUUCAUUGUCCGACAACAAUUAAGUUUUAACUAAAGAAGAUCGCAAAGUGACUGUUGUUAAAAGCAGAAGCCGAAAUAUAUAGUUCUGCGUAUACAUUUAGUACCCGUGCUACGUACACAUGAUCAUUUCCUAUUUAUGUCCAAGAAGGGUUCCAAUUAAUAUUUUUCGACAACUUAUUUGGUGCUUUAUGAAUGAAACUUCCAUAUUCCCCUUUUUUUUUAAAAAAAAAUGCGUAAUUAACAUCGUAUUUGACAAAGUUUCUUAAUUACUCAUUUGCUAAAAAUAAUUUAAAUCAAAACACAUGUAACUUAUUAGAUUGGUGAAUAGAUAUACAAAUACAAUAAACACAAACUAUCUACAAGUUUUGUUGAUUGGAUGGCAUGUUACGCGCUAGCACUAUUCGCUUAAAGUAUUAUUUGAUCAGUACUGUGAGAAAAAAGUAUUAUAUUAAAUAAUUUUUAAGAGGAAUUUUCUAUUUUUCACAUUUAGAAUAUUUGUUUCGAUUUUAAUUUUGUUGCGUGGAGUUGUAUUAAUUUAAAGGUUUGAAAAGAGAUAUAAAAAUGCAGUCAAAUAGGUUCUUUGGGAACUAUACAUGACAACGAUAGGUGAAUGUCAAACUCUUUUAUAAAAUAAUUUAUGAGUUACUUAUUUUUCUCAAUCUGAAAGUGGUGACUUAUAAACUAUAAACUUUAUGGGUUGACUAUCAUAAAGUCAAAUUAAGUGAUAUAGCUAUAAAUUAACUUGUUUCCAAACUAUAAACAAAUUAGGUGUCAACAACUAAUUAGUGCUAGGGAUCUCAAAAAAAAAAAAAAAAAAAGUCGGUUCUUUUUUUUUUUUCCAAAGUUAAUUGUUAAUUAGGGCAUAAUCCUAUUAAAUUAUUAAAGAAUUAAAGAAGAGUACAAAAAAGAUUCUCCAAUCCAUAAUAAAACUCGAUUUUGAAGAUAUUGUGCCCGUUGAGUGUUGGAGAAUUAGUAGUAUAUAUUACCACAUACAUGCAUGCUUUGAGCCUUUGACAUACACCUGUGCAGUACAAUUGCAUUUCGCUACAUUAAUUAAUGAAAUCUUUGAUUAGAGGAGAUGAUAUUGUAGGAGAUGCAUACUUUUUAGGAACAAAUCAAAUUUAUAUAUUAAUUUGACCAAAAAUCAGUGAAUAAUGAUCAAAUUUAAUAAAUUUAUUUAGUUAAUAAUAAGUUUUAAUGUGUUAAUACUAACACCAUUUAGUUAGGUAUCGCACAAAUCCGAAUAGUUGAAUGUGUUGAAUAUAAAUAUUUAAAUUUCCAUUCUCUCAUUGCUUAAGUUUUUGAAAAAUAAAUAAUACUUGUUUUAUAUGAUUUAACAUGAUAUCAGAUCAGGGGAUUAUGAGCUUGAAUCUCACUUACUUUAAGCCCAAUUAUUUUAUAUAAUAUAACAAAAUUAUCGAUUAAUUAUUAAGCACCACAUUACAAAGCUGACUCCAUUAUAUAUAAUUGGGGUAUAUUUUGAGAUACCUAUUCAAUUCGCACCUGCACCAAACCCAACUCAGGAAAUGGAUUAGUUUCUCAUUGACCAGAUUAAAAUUUUCUCAUUGACAAAAUUAAAAUUUAAAACCCAUGAAUAUUAAAUAAAGCUCGAUUAUUCUCAUAAGAUUCCUCAACCAACUACCAACGAAAAUACUCCCCCUGCAUAUUUGGAAAGGAAAACUUCAAACAUGUCCUACGAAUCAACUAAAACAUGUUUAGUUAUGAAAAACUUCAUGGCUUACCAUUUUCUGUACGUUGGGGCAGUUGCCCGUGGCCCACAAGAUGGAAAUUUGUUCUGUGUAUUUUGAUGGUCUAAUGUUUAAUUUCUUUUGAUUCAUUUUCUAUUAGGAAAAGAAAAUGCUUCGUCAUUCGAUCAUUUUUAUUAGCUGCCUAUUAUUUAGGCUCAGUGUAUUCAAUAUUCAUACAUCCAUACACCAUAUUAUUAUCUUGCCGUCGUCUGUAAUUCAAAAUAUCAGCUUUAUACGAAGCAAUUAAUCCAGAUGUAGUCUUAACAGAAUAGCUUGCGUGUAAGUUAAAAGUCACAGUCAUGGAUACAUGAAAUUAAUCGAAUGCAAAAUCUCUUAAAAGUUAAAACUGAGGGAUCAAAACCAACCUCAUAUCGUACUAUAAGAAAUUGUGCAGCGCUAAUUCUAAUACUAUACUUUUCUUAUUCAUUGCUCUUUUUCUUACAGAGAAAUAUAUCAUGCUAUUCGUUUUGUUUAUUCUUCUAAAAAAAAUAAAUUUGAUUUAAAAUGUGAAACAAUUAAGUUUUAUAUUUGAAACAUUGAAUACCAGCUGCUAUCAAUCUCUUUGAUACAUGCGCUAAUUAAGGGAGUUCGAUUCUUUCGUACUUUUCAAUCCCUACCGCGUACACACUAAAAAUUGCUAAAGUUUUUUUUUUUGGUUUUUUGGUUUUUUUUUUGGUUUUGACUUAAAAUUAAAUAGUGAGAAACUGGUAAUAAAGUGUACGAAUACACGGAUACACCGAGCGCAUGCGAUAAUUUCCUUAUUCCUAACAUAGGAUAGGAUCUUUGAGCACGUCCCCCGUAUCUUUGUAAUCUACAAAUGCUUGGCCCGAAACGACGUCCGCAUAAACCAACCCCAGGAUUUUCUCUGCACCCCACCAAGAUCUCUUCCUCUCUCCCACACUAUUUAUUAACACUCCCCCCCUCCUCCUCCCUUUCGAAAAUUAACCCAUACAACAGAAGCUAGCUAAUCCCAAAUUAAACCAAUGGCUUUCUCUCCCAUCUCCUGUUUCCUUAAGGUCACCUUCCUCGUCGCCAGCCUCAUCUCCAUCGUCGGCCAACUCCGGCCGCCGUGGCCCCGGUCGCUGCCCGACGACCUCCUCGCCCUCGACAUCGCCCCCCGAAUCCGCACCGACCCCGCCGCCGCCGCGCUCGCCUCCGCCGACUUCGGCAACCUCACCGCCGGCCGGCCGCCGCCUGCCGCCGUGCUGUAUCCGUCGUCGGCGGGCGACAUUGCCGCGCUGGUCCGAUCCUCGUACGCGUCCCCGCGGCCGUUCCCGAUAUCGGCCCGCGGGCACGGGCACUCGCUGCGAGGCCAGGCGACGGCCCCGGGCGGCGUGGUGGUCGAGAUGGCGGCGCUGGGGAUCGGGCGGUCGGAUCGGAUUAAUGUGUCGGCGGGGAGCAGCUGUGGGGGGACGUGCUGCGGGCGGCGCUGCGGCACGGGCUGGCGCCGCGCUCCUGGACAGACUACCUGCACCUCACCGUCGGCGGCACGCUCUCCAACGCCGGGAUCAGCGGCCAGGCGUUCCGCCACGGCCCGCAGAUCUCCAACGUGCUUGAAUUGGACGUGAUCACCGGUACGACCACACUGCUAGCUAGCUAUUUUUAUUAUCUCCUCACUUUUAUUAUAAAUAAAUUAGUCCAAUAUUAGUUAUAAACGUCACAUGUAGGUCGAUAGUUACCAGUUGCAGGAGAAUUAUCGCCUGCACCCGGUGCAUCCGUAUAUCUCGUGCUUCAGUUUAUUUAUUUAUUUAACCAUUAAUUAAACUAUUAAAUAAAAUAAAAAUGCUGCAUUUACGAACAUAGGAGGAUUUUGAGAUUUGUGAAUUUUGAGUUUUGACUAUCAAAAUUGUAUCCAAUGCCUACUAAUUAAUUAAUUAAUUAAUUAAUUAAUAGACGAUGGUGCACGGAAUGUACAAAUACACCGGGUGCAUCUAAGUAAUAGAAAGUCCCCAUAAUUUUAGCACCCACGUAACCACGUUCGCUCUCGCCGCUAAUGACCACGUCGGCACAUGCGCGUAACACAGGAACGGGCGAGACGAUCACGUGCUCCAGGGACCUGAACCCGGACCUGUUCUACGCCGUGUCAGGCGGGCUGGGCCAGUUCGGGAUCAUAAUCCGGGCCCGAAUUGCACUGGACCCUGCCCCCAGCAUGGUCCGGUGGGCCCGGCUCAUCUACACCGACGCCGCCGCGUUCACCGUGGACCAGGAGCGGCUCAUAUCCCCCAGGCUCGGCGGCGCCGGCGCCUCUCGGCUUCAGCUUGACUACGUGGAGGGCUCGAUCAUCGCCGACCACAGUCUCAUCGGGAGCUGGCGAUCAUCGUCCUUCUUCUCCGAGCCAGAUAUCGUGCGGAUAAGCGCGCUCGCAACUCGCCGUGCCGUCCGUACCGUGUACUGCAUCGAAGCUGCCAUUUACUACGAUGACAUGACCUCAGCUUCGGUCGAUCAGGUAAAAAUAAAUAAAAUUACUCUUGAUCUAUGUUAUCACUGUAGUAACAUUUUUAAGUUAAUUUACAUACGCACACGUUAAAAAUACUAAUAUUAUAUAAAUUCGUAAGAGUUAAAAAAUGGCAUACGUAAAUUGAUGCUUGGCUCCCAUAUCGUAAUAAAGAUCUCGUGUCUCUUUUCAUAGGACCCACGUGAUUCGGUCCACAGCGAGAGAUCCUCGUGUGUGCGCGUCCCCAAACAACCCGAAAUGGAAACUUUGGUCGUAAAUUUGAACUUUUGAGGUGUUGGGUUUCCAUUUUGGGCAGGUAUGGGUGCUUGUUGGGUGAGCUAAGGUGGUUCGCUGACCCAACAAGGCAACAACGUUGUCAACAACUGAGUCGGACCGAGCCAAGUUGUGGUUGUGGGUCAUAUGAGUUUGGGUUCGGUGCAUAUAUGCUACGUACGUGUGGUCCCAUAUUUGUUUUUUGGGGCCAAUAUGUGGAUAUAAAUGGGACGUGGAGCUUUUAUGCAUCUGUUCACCACGUCGUACUUGAGUCCCUCUUUUGUACGCACACAAUCUUUUUUUCCAAGUUGCUUUCGAGAUUCUCCACGCAUUUGUUUUCUACUUUUUGGAUGGCUUUAGUUUCUUUUUUUUUCAUCUUUCUUCCAGUGUCCUGCAUAAAAUAAAAUUAAAAAAAAAAAAAAAAAAAAAAAUUCUUAUAUGUGUAUCACGCGUCGCGCCACAAGUGGACAGCGAAUCGCCAUAAAAACAAAAUUUUAUGUGCAGGAAUUGCACCUCAUGGCAUAGUAGAGUUUACGUCAUGCAAGCCACUGUUUGUUGAUGAAAAGGAUAUAUCAUAUACAUGUCAGUGUUUGGAUCCUCACUUCCAUACAUAUUAGGAACAGCAACAUGCUAACACCAUUUGUGAUCAAUUAAUCAUUUCGAUUUUCCCCAUUAGAUGGCCCUCGUACUUUUCGAUCGGUAGCCUAAAUGAUCAGCAAAUAACUAAAUCACUUGAGAGGAAUCCAACUCUAGGACUUGAUGUCCUAUGCUGAAGAUUAAUUUGGUGUGUAUGAACAAAGGAAGAUCUGUUUCAACUUUGACAUUAAUUUCAUAUACCUACCGUAUAUUUGCUAUUAAUUAGAAUCUACAUUGACAAGUAAGGUUUCUUAACAGGAACUCAACUCAUUGCUUCAAGAGCUAAGCUUUGAGCCGGGGUUUGUGUUCACACGAGACGUGUCGUACGUGGCGUUCCUUGAAAGAGUCCACGAAGGCGAGCAAAAGCUCCGAUCGGUCGGACUAUGGGAUGUCCCUCAUCCUUGGCUAAACAUCUUCAUUCCCAGGUCUCGAAUACUAGACUUUGAUCGCGGAGUGUUUAAGGGAAUUCUUAAGCACAAUAAGGCCAUGGGCCCCAUUCUAAUUUACCCCAUGAACAAAAGCAGGUAAGUGCAUUCGUUACUCAAUUUUGUUCAAUAAGAAAAUCAAAAGUCUCAAGUUUGAAGAAAAGUAUUGUUUGAAUAGCGCCUACUAUCUUUCUUCUACGCUACUAACUUUCAUUUUCGCUACAACAAAAAACUGUAGACUUUUUAUGUAGCAAGAAAUGUUGUUCUAAAAAUCAUGACAAGUAGGCGCCGGUUCAUUGACAAAUUGAGAAUUCAUCUUAAACUGUGAUUAGUGCAUGAGUUAGUUGAGGGUCUUUUCUGCAGGUGGGACGAUCGGACGUCAGCAGUGGUCCCCGACGAAGAAGUUUUCUACACCAUAGGCUUGUUGAGAUCAGCAGUAAAUGAUGAUUUGGAAUUUUUGGAGGCCGAAAAUGCUGAAAUACUCCGAUUUUGUAAUGAGGCUGGUAUUGAACUUAAGAAGUACCUACCUCAUUACACAACUCAAAGUGAUUGGAUGAAACACUUCGGUCCAAAAUGGGGUAAGUUCGUGGAGAUGAAGAUGAAGUAUGACCCAAAAGCGCUCCUAUCUCCAGGGCAAAGGAUAUUUACCCCAUUGAUAGAGGGUUAUUCCACAGAGUGACUCAAAGAGAUUUACAUCUCAUUUUAGGUCGAAUACUUUGAUGUACAUCUUGUAAAAUGCUAGCCAUAGUUUGUAGAAAUUAAACUAUUCCACUUUUCGAGUCUUUGUUUGUCAAUCAAUGAUCUGCAUAUAAUUUUCUACAGCAUGAUUAAAUACAUUUAGGGUGUGCUUGGUUUAAUAUAUUGCUUUCCAUUCCGACUGUUUGAUCAAGGAGAUGCUCCUUUUCAGUUUCUAUUACAGGGUAGAAUAAGAAAAGCAAGCGAUCGACCUAAAACUGAGACAGUAGUGAAAAUGUGGAGUCAUUUUUGAACCUCAAUUGAAGUCUCAAUUCAGCUGCCGAAAGAGCUGCAACAAAUUCAAUCAAGUCAGAUCAUAGUUUCCAUCGAUUUUGAUUUCGCACGCCAAAACACUUGUAAAUGACAAAGAUUCUAAAUACGCCAAAAUAGAAUUCAAAGUAAGAACAGUGUGAUUGACACAGGAAAUUUAACUGGUUCCAAAGUUGUGCUCAAUCUUUUAGGUUGGAUCAUUUUAGAUGUCAAGAUGAUGUUUCUAGGUACUACAAAUUUGGAGGGGCUGGGCCAGUAUCGUUUGAGUGAAAGAAAAUAUGAUGGAACAAAACAUGUACUUGACUUUGGCCACCUCUAUUACAUCAUGGACCACUCUAUAAUAGCUUUGUUACCACUCUAUAAUAGUUUCUUUCGCCAGCAUGACAAAAUUUGUUGCUUUAAUCUCGUACGAGAAGAUGAAGAUUUGGCAAGUAAAGUUUUUUUUUUCUUAGUUUUAUGUGUGGAAAAUCCUAUUGACGGUAAUGAUAUUUUUUUGGCUGUUGCGCAGCUAAGUCUAUGACGAAAGUUACAUUACUUGCAUACAAACUAUUAGUGAAUAAGUAGAAUUUGCUCAUGAUUGUAUAAAAAAAAAAAUCUACAUUACGUUUGAAUAAUUUUUAGUUCAAAAUGAGACCUAAUUAGUAAAUAACUAGAAUUUGUUCAUCAUAGUAGGAGUAGGAAACAUGGGCUCGAACAAUUUGGCCCAAGAAAUGUUUAGAUUUAUGGACACGCCCAACAUUUGUUUAGGAUCCAUGUAUUGCAUUACGUGGGCUAAUUGCGAGGGGCUAAGUUUCACUGGUCGGACCAUUGGUUUCAAUGGUAAAUCUCUACUUUAUUAUUUGGUCCACUAUAACUUCAUCUUCGGGUAAAAAUUCAAAAAUUUCAAAAUAGCAUAAAUAAUUUCGACUUAGCUGAGAUCUAAGUCAAAGAUGAAAAAAAUAAAAUAAAAUAAAAUUAUUAAUCAUCUCUCACAGCUUUAAUUUUUACGCUAUUUAUUUUCCACCAAAUAAAUGAUAAAAUUGAAAAAAAUUAUUUCCACCAAUGUACAAAAUAAACAACAAAAUAGUCAUCAGGAAAUUUACUACAUGCGUGAACCAACCUGGUGUGUUGGGCGAGCAACGGACGAGGCCCGGGACCCCGCCCACUUCUACUUCUUCUUCUUCUGGAUACGAGUCGUUCGGAGGGCGAUGCAGUUCGCGGCGGAGGACCACCGCUUCCUCGUCCACCUCUCCCGCCUCCUCCGCCGCGAGAGAGGGGCGCGGCUAUGGCUCGGCGCCGCGCUCGUCUCCCUCCUUAUCCUCCUCCUCCUCCUCCUCGCGCCGCGGAUCCCCCAUUCCCCAUCCCUCCACAUCUUCGCCGACAUGCGCAACUUCCUCGGUUGUAACCCCCUCUCUCUCUCUCUGCAUCUCUCUACGAACCCUAAUCGUGCCCAAUUGCUUGAUCCCGCUUCCGCCGCAGGGGUGCCCAACACGCUCAACGUGCUCACCAGCUUCCCCUUCUUGCUCGUCGGAGUCCCCUCCCUCGUCCUCUCCCUCUCCGGGAGCUGCUUCGGGAUCAGGUGCGCUAGGGUUCCGCCGACGCUCGAUUUUCCUGGAAAUGUUCGGAGUUCCACUCCGAUUGUGCGCCAUUUUGGAAUAAACCCCUUAAAUUUUCGUUUUUAGUCAGGGGAUUUGUCAAAAUUAGAAACUUUGAUGGUCAUUGGCAGGUGACAAUCAAACGGAAUUCGCAAUUACCAUUUCAAAAGGGCCAAGUUUGCGAGGAGUUUCUUUUCAAAAUGGCGUACAUUUGAGGGGGUACGUGCACAUGUUGUACCCGUUCUCUUUCCCGGACCUGUUCUGUUUAUAUGGUUUGGUGACAAUUAGAUUACUAGGAAAGUGUUUGAUGGAUGUUCCGUGUGGGUUGUAGCUUGAAAGGAGAGGUCUUGGGUUGGGCUUUUUUCUAUGCGGGGAACUCGGCGUUGGCGUUUGGAUCCGCAUAUUAUCACCUUAAGCCGGAUGAUGAUCGAAUUGCUUGGGACAGGUUACCGGUAUAUACGAACCCAAUCUUCUAUAAUGUCCUUUUUAUUCUGCAUUGUUGUGUGAACAUUUGAGUUUGUGAUGUUGUAUUGUUAAAUGGAAGCAUCUGCCUAAUAGUAGUUGGGUUCCAGAUCUUUCUUCUAAUCUUCGAAUAUGUAGAUUUUUAUUCACUUCAGAGACUUUGGAAUUGUACUAUUUGUAUUUUUUGUUAAAAGAAACUUGCACAUUUCUCUUUUGUUGAUUCUGUUAGAACGCAUGUUCUUUCAAGCAGAUGAUGAUCUCAGCCUCUUCUCUAUUGUCUAUCUUAGUGAUAGAGAGAGUGGAUGAACGGAUUGGAGUAUCAUGUUUGUUUUCACUCUUAGCCCUCGUACUCCUCAGCAUCGUAUGUGAAAGGUAAUUCAAAAUUUUUCUCGUAAAGUAAACUCGACUUUUUUUGUACAAACUCAAAAUGCUUAAAGAAUGGCUAAUAUAUUUUUCUGUGGAAUGUGCUAUGUUAGCUGGUUGCAGGACCUUUAACGAUCUUCGGCUGUGCAUGAUGUUCCAUAUUUUUCCAUGCAUCGCAAUUCCUGCAAUGGUUUUCUUGUUGCCGCCGAAGUAUACACAUUCAAGAUUUUGGAUUUUGGCGACAGGUCAUUUCUAAACUGUGACCAGUGAGCACAUUUCCAGUUUUCAGUUUCCUCCAUUCAUUUUGUUAUCUGCAAAACACCCAUUUUGGCCAAUUUUUUACUCUAUUUUUACAUAUAACACUUUCAACUUUUCACGAUGGAUAUCUGUACAAUCUCUAACUAGAAUAUAUCAAUUGAAUUCUGGAUCAGAAACAUCGUCCGGUCCUUAACAAGUAGGAGGUGUCUGAUUUUGUGAAGUGCAAUUGUGAAAUCUCUUCUCUCUCUGUUAAGGCUUAUGGUGAUUGACUCUCCAUGUAAAUUUAAUGGGUAAAAUUACUUACUAGUCGAUGAACUUGAGGCCAAAGUUUCACUUUUAAUAUUAUAAGCUAAUAUAUGAGAAUUUGUUAGAAUUGAUUUUUUCAAGUUUUCGAACUAUGCAUCUUCUUUUAUUAUCUAUUUAUAUGUGGGUAAAGUUGUACAAAAAGCUGUUGCAUGUAAGACGUUGUUGCUGCAAAUACGCAAGACGGUUCCUGUUAAGGUCUGCCAACAUUUUUAAGGAGUUGUAAUGCUAGAUGUACUCAAGAAGAUAAGAUUACAUUAACUCAGAUAUUCUGACUGAUUUUUAAAUCUUAUUGAGCUAAUAUUAUAACCUUAUAGACCAAAUAACAACAUUUAGUAUACUAACGGACCGUUUGGUUCCUGGUUUGUAAUAUUCCGGAAUUGUUUUACAUUUUAUAUUUGGAAUGAUAAACUUGUUACUAAAGUUAACCACUUGUAUUUGGGAGGUUGCUAGGGACUAGUAUAUUCUUAUUAAUGGACCCAUUAAAUAUGGGAAUGAGAAUACCUCUUAAUAACCAAUCUAAUAUUCUUACCGGCUAGGGAAUCUACAGUGAUUCCACUACUUCACUAAUAUCUUUUACAACUAUCCAACUUAAGUUGAAUUGUAAUGAUUUGAAUAUUUUUCAAUAAAAAAUAUAGGAAAUUACUGGAAUAUUACAAACCGUAAACCAAACGGCCUCUAAGGUUACAAACAAAAGAGGAUCUUUCGAUGGAUAAGGUCUUACUCAUCUUCUCAUUGUUUGCACUUUGUUUCUCUGAUGGUUGUCAAAAUUCAGGUUUCUACCUUCUGGCGAGAUUUGAAGGUAUUGCUGAUAAAAAGGUUUACAGUGUGAAUCGAUACUUCAUCAGUGGCCACUCCUUGGAGCAUCUCUUUUUGGCAGUGGUUUCCAUCAUACUAACAGUAAUGCUGUGUCUCAGAAGUAUUAAGAUUGCCAGGUAUCCACAUAACCAUAAGUGAAUGGAUAUUUUUUGGUUUUUCAUAAAACCGUUAGUUUCCACACAAACAAAUUUAACAAUAAGCAGUUUAUAUAGGAAGAAAUGAAAUCUUUGUAGAUUGCAUACUGAUUGGGGUUUAACCUUCCUGCAGAGAUUACUAGAACGGACCUGGGAUUGAGACAUUUGUAAAUUUAAUGGGGAAGUAGUGAAGAAUCUAUCGAGAACUGAUAUCGACUUUGAAUUUGGACAGUACAGUUUGUAGUUGACUGGUACAAUUUCUUUCAUGCUCUUCUCUACUACUGAUCUUUGCAGCAACAUAGGUCUCAGAAUGUUGUUUUUUAGCUCUAUUGAAUAGCAUGUAUGAGUUGAUGAAAAAUAAAUUCGCCUGUUUCGUUGGAUAUACAUAUACUUCAGUAAUGAGCUUAGGUUCGUUUUGUAUAUGAUUUAAUGCUUGUUUUUUUUUUUUUUUUUUUUUAUUAUCAUCAUCAUCAUCAUCAUAAAUAGCAAUGCUGAAGAUGAGAGGUAUUCUAAUAUUUGCAUCAAUGUUUAAUUUGUAGCUUCUUGAAAAAGCCUCUCUACUUGAAGAUGUAGCAGUGAAAUAGUUAGCUAGUAAGAAAGUUUCAGGCUUUCGUUGUUGGGUGAAAAUUUGAAGUCAAGCUUCUCUACCAACUUUUUUUUUUAAAAAAAUUUUUAGCUAGGAAGAACUAAGAAGUGCUUCAAUGGGACUCCAAUGAAAUAAACUGGUAGUAAGGUGCUAAUAUAGGCCAUUUUGAAAUUGAUCAUAGUUUUUUUGUAAAAAAAUUUUAACGUCUGUUUAAUUAUUUUCUGUUGUAAUUCUAGUUUUUUUUUUUUUUUUUUUUUUUUUUUUUUUUUUUUUUGUAAGACUCUGUUAAUUUAGUGGAACUUCUAAUUUAUUUGGUUAGAAUAAAAUUGAAUAAAAAUAAAUAAAUGUAUAUAUGCGUUGUAAAUAUCAAUAAAGAAAUAAAUUUAUAAUAAUCAAUGUGUGAGGUGAUAUUCACACACCCUUUUUUUUUGUUCCCUUGUAUCUCUUCGGCGUUCCCCAAAAUGGUACCCACAUGCUACCGCUCCUCUUCCUCCUCGGCGCAAGUCGACGACGCCACUCUUUUCUUCUUCUUCUUCCUCUCUCCUCCUCCCAUUACCACCAUGGACACGAACCCGCCGAGCUCGACCUCGACCUCGGCCUCGACCUCGACCUCGAGCGCUCCACCUUCCAAUGGAACGCCAAUCUCCGCUCCCACCUCACUCGUGGCGCGCCCACCGCCGCGCUCGCCCUCUACUUCCGCAUGCGCUCCCUCGGCGCCCUCCCCGACCACUACACCCUCCCCCUCGCCCUCCGAGCCUGCUCCGGCGCCCGCGCCUCCCGCGCCUGCUUCCUCGUCCACGCCCACGCCGCCUCCACGGGCCUCCACCGCCACCUCCACGUCGCCAACGAGCUCGUCGUCAUGUACGCUCACCUGGGUCUCAUGGAAACCGCCCGUAAGGUGUUCGACGAUAUGCCGCACCGAAGCGUGUUCUCUUGGAACGCCCUCCUCUCCGGGUACUCCUCAAGUCGCGAUCUGGACCGCGCGCGCGAGGUCUUCGCGCGGAUGGAGGAGGUGGGCCCCACGCCCGACGCCGUGACGUGGACGGCACUCCUGUCGGCGCACGCCAAGUGUCGGCGCCACGGCGACGUCGUCAACCUGUUUGACGAAAUGAGGGCCAAGGGAUGCAGAGGCACUCCGGAGUCCCUCGCCGUUGCGCUCUCCGUUUGCCCUUACGUCGACGGCGCGUUGUUGGACAAAGGUAGAGAAAUCCACGGCUACGCGGUCCGAAACGGCUUCGAAGCAUACUCCUUUGUGAACAACUCGCUUAUAUGCAUGUAUGGUAAGCUCGGGAGCAGAGAGGAUGCCGAGCGGUUGUUUCUGGGUACGAGCUCUAGAGAUUUAGUAACUUGGAAUUCGUUGAUAUCGAGCUAUGCGGCGGCUGGUUUAUGCGAUGAAGCUUAUGACAUCUUUCUACAGAUGGAUCGAACAGGAACAGGGGAGCUGGCGCCCAAUGUGGUGAGUUGGAGCGCAGUGAUUGGCGGGUUCGCAUUGAGCGGUAUGAUCGAGCGGUCGCUGGAGCUUUUCAGGAAUGUCGGGUCGUGCCCAAUUCGGUUACUCUUGCUACCGUUCUAUCUGCAUGCGCAGAGUUGUCGGCACUGAGGUUGGGCCGAGAGGUUCACGGANGGAACAGGGGAGCUGGCGCCCAAUGUGGUGAGUUGGAGCGCAGUGAUUGGCGGGUUCGCAUUGAGCGGUAUGAUCGAGCGGUCGCUGGAGCUUUUCAGGAAGAUGCAGCAAUGUCGGGUCGUGCCCAAUUCGGUUACUCUUGCUACCGUUCUAUCUGCAUGCGCAGAGUUGUCGGCACUGAGGUUGGGCCGAGAGGUUCACGGACACGCCGUUAGAGGAUCAAUGGUUCAUAAUUUGUUGAUAGCAAAUGGACUUCUCAAUGUGUAUUCGAAGAGUGGGAACCUUCGUAGUGCGCGGUUGGUGUUCGAUGGAAUGAGGAAGAGGGAUUUGAUAUCUUGGAACACCAUGGUUGCCGGGUACGGAAUGCAUGGGCUUUGCGACGAAGCUUUCGACACUUUCUACGGUAUGGUUAGGGCCGGUGUUGAGCCAGAUAAUAUAACUUUCGUGGCGGUUCUCUCUGCGUGUAGCCAUGCUGGGCGAGUAUCGGAUGGUCGUGAGGUGUUUGAUCAAAUGCUUAACAAAUAUAAAGUCUCGCCAGGAAUUGAACAUUACACAUGCAUGGUGGACCUUCUCGGGCGUGCCGGUCUGCUGAAAGAAGCAAUUGGGCUCAUAAAGAAGAUGGCAAUGAAGCCGAGUGUUUCCGUCUGGGGAGCGCUUCUCAACUCUUGUAGAAUAUACGGGAAUGCCGCGGUUGCCGAAGAUACCAUGAAGAGGUUGGGGAUCGAAGAAGAAGACAGUACGGGGAAUUAUAUCAUGCUUUCGAAUAUAUAUGCGGCGUGCGGGAUGUGGGAGGAGGCGAAGAGGGUGCGAGUGAAGACGAAGGAGAGGGGUUUGAAGAAGAGCCCGGGACAGAGCUGGAUUGAGCUGAAGAACAAGGUGUGUGUUUUCUCGGCGGGAGAUGCGUCGCCACCCGACGGAGAAGAUGUGUACGGAGCUCUUGAAGAUCUCUAUCGCCAAAUGGAGCACGAGAAUGAUAUUAUCGAGGGAUUGGAAGAAGAGUUUAAUCUUAACUACAUGGAUGAAACUCAGAGAAAUUUUUAACUAGAAGAGCUGAGCACAUUAUUUUCCAUUUUUUGAACAAAUGAAAGAAAACGUAGAGAGUUCUACUGUUCUACAUCAAGGCGAAUUAAAAGGAAUAUUUGCAUUUUAAGGAGCAGCAAUGCUACUCUUUUGCUGCAAAUUUGACUUAAAAAACUAUUACAAGGCAUUUGCCGUUUUAGCGUGGGAAUGUGGGAACAUAUUACAACAUUCUUUAUUCUCCGGAUGAAGCAAAACAUGAACGCAUAUGUAACCCAGUGUAAUCCACUGGUCAACUGUAAAAUAAAAAAAAAAACUCCAAAAAAAAAAGCUUUAACAAAAUUCAUUCCCCAUUAUAUAAAAAUAAGAAUAAUAUAAUAUUAAUAUCAUUUUCAUACACUAGCAGCUCCGAUGAGGACACAAAAUCUUGAGAACGAAAAUGGCUCCAACAUAACAAGCACCCUCCCGUACCCACAAACAACGGGGUAAAAAAUGAUUGACCACUGAUAAUACCAAAUAAUUUAAAGAUACCAAAAAUACCAGCUCUGAGUCCCCCUAACAUAGAUUAAGAGCAAGGGAAUCACAACACUAUACUCGACCACACCACAAAACAGUUUUUCCAAACCAAACUAAUCUGGAAACGCUUCCGUUUUAGAUUUAAUUACUGUUGCUUGCACUCAGCUGGUCGCUCUUGAGCUUCCAAUCCACCCUUCUGCAGUCCAAAAUCAACACAACUUAGAAAUUUAUCAAAAUUUAUAUAAAAAAUGGUUUUGCCUUUGCUUUUUUUUUUGUGUGUGUGUUGAAUAAGGUUGUAAGAAUAGAAACCGCACCUUUUGUCCGCUGGCCAACUGCUUGGGACAAACCGAAAAGAUAAAUCAGCAUCAGAAGCCAGAACAUAUUUCAGUAGUUUCGAGACUGAAAAUUGGAAACAGUUAUGAAGAACAUGAAAUUGUUACCUUCUUCUUGGUCUUUCCCUCCUCUUCCUCUUCUUCAUCGUCGUCAUCAUCGUCAUUCUCCUCAUCCUCUUCUUCAUCCUCAUCUUCCUCGUCUUCAUCCUCUUCAUCAUCUUCUUCUUCUAACCCUUCGAAAUCAUCCGCUUGAACAGCCUCACCCGUAAACCACGAGACCGCAUGAGGUAUAAUUUUAUCUCUAAUAGUGGACCUGCAUGGAAGAGAGAGAGAAAAAAAUGCUGACACGACUGAGCUACAUACUUUUUAUUCUCCUCAUCCUCUUUUACAGAAGCAGACGAGCUUUAAAUUAUAGUUUCUGCAUUCAGAACCUAAAAGCUCAUUUUUUUAUUCCCAUGACAGCAAAAGCUACAUACUCCUUAUUUGCUAUGCUCCUAGCUGUUGCUAUUCAGGCUAGAGGCUGUUUACGAAACCAGGACGCGAAAAUAUAUACAUUUACAAAAACAAUAAUUUUGUAGAAAGCUAAUGGAACAACGGAAAACUAUGAAUAAAUUGCUUACCCAAUAUCAUAAUCUUGCUCCAUUUGAUUCUGGAGUUCCUCAGCCUGGCCCAUUAGCAAAAGAUGAGCCAUGUAAAUAGAUAUUCUUAUAUUUCUCUAACAUUUUUUUUAAACUAAUAAGCAAGUCAUUUUCAACUUACAGUCUCUUCAUCUAUAUCCUCAUCAUCCUCAGGGACUUGUGGAGGAUUGAAAAAAUUAAAAAAGCUCUCGCAAGUUUCAGUUUUAGUGAUGGGCUUGGCAUUCUUCGAACCCUUUUUUGGUUUCUUUUUCAAAAUCUUCUGGGUCAAGCACUUCCCAGGAUACCACUCUAUCUCAGUCCUACAAUAAAAAUGUCAUGAUUAAAUAUGUAAGAGUAAGAGAUAUAAAGUAACAAUAACAAAAAAAAAAUUAUAACUAAUAUACAGUAAAGGCUAUAAAUUACCCUAUUGCUUUUUCUAAGAUUGGUUCAUCAUCAUCUAUCAUGUGAUAUGUUUUCGUCAAGACUGAAUUUUUGAAAUAAGGGUUGGCAUCAAAGAAGAAUUCAAGCUUGAAACCCUUGGGAUUAUCAAUUCUGCACCACUUGAUAUCUUUGAGAUACUUGAGGGCAUCCUCAUCACGCUCUUGAAUCUACAUGAGGAAAAUUUUCAUUAAAAGACGCCAAUAAGGAAAAAAAAAAAAAUGAUAAAAGGAAAGUUGUUUCCUUCUUAUUACCUCUUCAGUCAGCACUUCGUUCAUUUUCAUAGCAUUGAGCCAAAAACCCGGAACACCUUUUUCUGAAUCAAUAAAGCAAAAUAAAGAAUUAAUGAAUGCAGAAAGAAUAAGGGAGCAGAUUCUAUCUUCCAAAUUCCAUUAAAAACCUUCGGUCUUUUCACCAUCAGCAGUGGGUUCCUCUGCUGUUUCAUUUGUAAUACCGUUGACCUCCACUAUUCCAUUAACAAUAUCGUAUCUCUGCAAAAUAUUCAGUAAGAAGCAAGCAGAAUAAUGCUUGUGGCAAAAUCAUGGAAGGGCAAUAGAAGACUGGCACCUUGUCGCGCAAGUGAUGUCAAUUAGAACAUUAAUUAUUCCAUGAAUAUCUUGUUUGCACAUGGUAAUGAAGCACAGAAGAGAUAAGAAAGAAAGUCUUUACUAUACAACAUUAGAAAAAGUACCUUGAUGUAUAGUGGCUCAUAAAGCUUCUGAUAUUUAGCUUCGAGAGCAGCUCUCUCCUCGAAAAAUUUUGCCUCAAACUCAUCAUGUUGGCUCUAGAACAAUAAAGUAAUUUUCAAUCAGUUCGUUAGUAGGACUUCUAGUACUUUCCAGCACACAAGCAGAAUCUAUUACAUCUAUGCCCACGCUGUGGUAGAGAGAAAACCCUUAAUGAAUGCGACCAGUCAAAAGGAAUGCUUAUCAUCUUAUGAUCUUAUGCUAAUUAUCUUAUGCGGCUUGCCUAUCAAGUAAACAAGUAAAAGCAGACUUCACUAAGGGAAGCUAUUCAAAUUAAUCUUUGUUGGGAAAGGCUGUAAGUUGACAAAAAGCUCAAAGAAAACUAUCCAUAUGAAGUUGCUCAAAUUUGAGACCCGGGGCAGAAGCUUCUUUCCAUUAGGGUCUCAUAGUACAAAAUCAAUUAACUAUGACACCCAAUGAAUUAGGAAACCGGUCCAAUACGGAAGAGAGACACAAGCUUCAUAAACUUCCACAUUGCCCGUACUUCAUGUCGCAAAUGCAUCUACUCCAUGCCAUAUUACCACAUCUCCUUUUACUAUAUGGGGACUACAAUACCCCAUCAUAGCACACAAAAUUUCAACUUGUGGAAUUAAGGAAAAGUGACUCCAUGCUACAACUUAAAAAAAAUUAACAAACCUAACCAAGAAUGUACUGAGAAAACACGAGGAUGUUCGAAUUACAAGAGGAACAAAAGUUGCAAACCUACACUGCAGGAAAACAUGUGUAGCAACACCAUCACUUAUUAAGCCAUCCCCAAUUCCAAAAAGUUCUAGCCGAUACAAAUAUCUAACCAUUAAUCAAAAAUCAAAAGCUCUAAUCAUAUACAACAAAUACUUUACGAGACAUGCCCAAUUAAGCAUGAGUUGCACAUGCCAACUCUCCAAAAUAGCACUUUCAACUCUCAUUCAAACAGUAUGUUAAUGGAGAGCAAUGCGAAUCUGGCAUUCAACGAAAAUACAUAUUAGAAUCGCGUAACACUAAGCAUAAACUCUGCAGCAUAUACCAAAGAUACUAAUACAAUUAGGAACUUUAACCUACUAUUAUAAAAGAAAAGGAAUUAUAACCAACGGAGAAUUAUAGGGAAAAGCUCUGAGAUCAACCAGAAGCAAGAAUGAAAACUGAGAACUAACACCCAAACUAAAAAGAAGGAACUACAAUACCGCAACGACACCCAACAAAACAAGACCAAAUGGAUCAUUAGGAUCAGGACAAGGAAUAAAGACCAAACCUGGAUUUCCCUCAGCACCUCGACGCGCUUCCUCACAUUUGGCGAGAGCGUCUCGAGAACAUCCUUGUGUUCCCCAGCCAAGCUCUGCAGCUUAUUCUGCAGGAAAAAAAAAAAAAAAAAAAAACUCUUUCUCAGUAGAAAGCCCAAAUCUUUCAGACCAAUUACAACAUAAACAAGAUCUAGAUCACAGACAAAAGUUGAAAAUCACCGAAUACAGAGAUCAAACCUCACCUUUAGGGCAGAGACGAGCCCCGCCCGGUCCUCCGCGCUUAACCCUAGAGAUCAUACACACGUCCACGCAUCAAAACAAAGGACACAACACCGACUACGAGAUCUAACAAAACAAACAGGAAACCCUAAGGAGAGGGAUGUAGAGAGAGGAACCUGCGGCGACGGCGGGGAGGGCGGAGCCGAGAUCGUUGAGGUUGAGGGUGUUCUGCUGCUUGUUGUUGCUCAUGGCGGCUUCUUCUUCUUCUUCUCCUCCGCCGCCUCUUCUCCUUCUUCUUCGCCGCCUUGUCGAGUAGAGAGGGUGCGGCGAAGGAGAGAAACCCUAGAGAGGUAGAGCGAUUACGGAGGGAGAAAGAGGGUAUAAAGCGGAGGAGAUGGAGAGUGGGGUUUCUUGUGUUUAUAUAUACCAAGGAGAAAUUGCGUGGGCUGUGGGAGUAGGGUUUUACUCGCCCCUCUCUUUCUCCUCCUUUUUUUUUUUUUUUUUUUUUUUAAGUUGAAGCGGCGCGAUCGGAUUAAGAUCCGCCGCACAUUCGAUCUCGUGCACAUUUAUUAAUUACCAUUUUUAAAAUUUAAACACCACAUAAUCACAUACAUUUUUACCUAAUCUCAUUUAAUCACAUAAUUAAAUUUCUUAAAAUUUAUUUAUUAUUUUAUUUAAAGGCAUUAAAAAGUUUGAUACGAAUACAGCUAACAAAAUAUCAACUGAACGAAAAUAAGCAACCUAAUAAAGCUCCAACUUAAAUGGUAAGAUAAAUGCCAAAAACAUUAUUAUUAUUAUUAAUAAAUAUAAAAUAUAAUUUAGAUAUUUCCUUGUAAUAUUAUUUUGCCCAAGUAAUUUAGUUUUCCCUGAUUUCUUGUGAUUUUAAAACUGUUGUUUGGAAAACUGAAAACCUGAGGGACCUCUCUGCAAAAAUACCGUUCGCGCGUCGAAUGGAAUAUGCUCAUGUGGACCGUCGACUGUGCGAAUCCAGCGUCUUGGGCACCUGGUCGAUGUGGGGUCCACAAGCAGUGACUGAAUUUCCGCGCAACCGCCAAUAAUAUGCUGACACGUAAGUAGCUAGGCUGUUCGUUGUUGUGAGAACAAGAGCUGGUGCGCACCCGCACGGGAUCUAGGUAUCUAACCCGCUCGGGCGUUUCAAACAAGGUCAGACGAAUAAUUGCAUGCGCCCGGUGUACAAAACGGGGCCUCAAAAAACCCAAAGCUAUGGAUUUUUAAAUGAAAAAAAUCGACAUUGUUAGACUCGAGCUACAAUGCUUAAAAUAAAAAGCUUUUCCUUAACCCUUUUUUCGAACAUAACAAUGAUAAAAUUUUUAACACCGCUAGUUUUGCGACUAUUCUGUAUCUGUAUUGUAGAUUUUUAAUUAUUAUAAAUUUUAUAUAAUAUAGAGAGCAAUUUUGGAAUUAUCAAUCAAAUUUAAUAUAUAAUUGCUUGGGCUUAAAUUUUGUAUAAGAUAGGGCUUGAAGAUGUUUUUCUGUGUAGUUUACGUGAAUAGUUUGUUCUUCAAUAAAUAAAUAAAUAAAUAAAUAAAUAAUCUCAAAUUUUGUAUGUCCCAGUGCAUACACCGUGGCGCAUGCAAUAGUUUCUACACAACAAAAAUCGGGAGUGGAGGGUCGAUAAUCGGAUGUUGGUCCCAACCAGGUUAUAGGAUCCGACCCGAUAAAUUGCGAUCCGACUUAGAAAGCUUUUGUGGGGGUGGCCCACUAAAGCCCAUGAACAUCGGUUCACUUCAGGGCCCUACUUAGCCCACUUUCCACGCCCGCGAAUGUUAAAAAUUUAAAGGCCAUGUUAGAAAUAUUUGAACUACUGCUUUUCAGUUUUGAUUCUGUUCGUAAUAGCAAGCGUACAGUUCCUGUGAAUUGAGUGCUUUAAUUGCCAGCUAUGGACCAAAGGGGAAUCAAAAAUGGUUCAUACUGAAGCACUUAAAUUCGAAUUGUACACAACAUAAUAUUUGUACAUUUCAUUAUUUUACUAGUAAAGGAGCAAUUAACACCUGAAUAAAGACAUGAUCAUCUGAACUCACCAAUCUCAGCUUAUCCAGCACAUGGCCUGCCUUAUCUGAAUAAUAAAUUCGACCAAAUUUUGAGCGAUCAAGUGACACUUGUGAACUGGAGAAGGCUGCAUUUAAGAGGCCUUUUGCCAUGUAGCAGUUGAUUCCCAACUUCAAGCUUAACUUUCGAUGCAGCAGAUUACAUCAUACAUCAUGCGAAUAAUGAUCAAAUUCAAUAGGUCUACUCUUUUAGGAACAAAAACAAUAUUCUAGAAACUCUCAGAAUCCUUAGUUUAGCUUUACAAUCUGAAGAACAAUCUGUAACUUGAAAAAUCUUAGUAAGAGGAAAAUCCAAAAGAUGACUAUCAUUUCUCAUGAGUGAUGUAGUUUACCGGUGGAUUAGCAUUUAACAAACCAAGUUUUAGUACGAAAACUCAAUGAAUGCACAGCUCAGCACAAAAGUAGAAGAAAAAUAGAAGAUUAAAAAGACCUAGCAAAAUGUACAAGCUCUUCUGUUUCGACUGCAGAACUGCGUGCUUGAGAUGGCUUCACGUAUUAGCUUGGAAAUGACCUAAGCUUCCCGUUUCUUUGCCUGAAAUAAGUUCGCAAAAUCACUUACAGGAAAAACUACUUAGGUACGACUUAAUUUAGGAUGUGAGAGAGAUCAAGAUAACAUACCAAAACGAAUCCUUCUUUUCUUGGGCUAGUAGCUCUUCGAAUGAGAUAUCAGGAAGUUCCGCAGUCCCUUCUGUUGGAACUUUCUCCAUACUUGCACUGAUCUCAAGCAUCUAUAAUAAAAUUAAAAUAGUAAUUCAGAUAUUAAACAAUCUAAUUCUGUUUAUUUAUUUAGUGUUUGUUUGAGUCUGGCUGGAUUGAGGUUCUGUGCUAUUUGAGUAUAGUUGUUUAAAAAGCAUUAAUAGCUUCUUCAUUAGAUCUUCUCAACAAUUUCUCCUGCAGCAGAAGCUAGAGUGACAAAUUACGCUUCCACUUCCAGGACACAAAAACUUUGUUUUGCUUCACACCACAACAAAAUUUUCAUUCCUUCCAUUAGUUAAAAAUCUAGAAGCUUUGGUUUUGUAGAAUAAGCUGUUCCAGAACCGGCCCAAACAAGCACUCAGCAAUAUUGAAAGAUGAGUACCGUUUUGUAUGCAGGUGACAACUUAAGCUGCUCUUGAACUAAAUUAUAGACAGCAGCAUCCUCUUUUAGCCUCUUAUGUUCCACUUCUAACUUGUACAUCUGUGAAAAAUUGCAAACAGCAAUUGAUGAGAAUGCCAACAACCACCACUAAAAGUGCAUGCUAACAGACAGAAAAUAGCACAGCAAACCUGUUGACAAAGGCGAUCAAAUGAAGAUCGAUCGGCCUUGAAUAACAAUGCCUUUUUAAUUUUAAAACUCCGUUGAAUGAUCACAGACCUGUUAUAAUCAAAAUUACCUUUUAAAAUUUAAAUAAAAUAAAAUAAGACAAUAUAUAACGCCAGCAAGUGGAUUAGACUUAAGAAGGGGAUACAUACUUGUGUUGCAAUUCAUUUCUUGCCUCAACGAGACAGUUGAUAAACUGACCAACCUACAAAACAAAGUAAAAGUCUACGUUAUGCAAUCAUGAAUGAAAAGUAUAAAACAUUAUAAAUGAGAAAAUUUGGUGGUAGAGUAGCUGGGACAUGCAAUGCUGAGUAAGGAAAAUCAUUAUAGGCACGAUUGAGAUAAUAGAAACAAAGAGUAGAGUUGAACAAAAAAUAGUAACAGAAAACAUGAACAUUUCAGCACAAUGACAAUACAAUGAGAUUAGCAUUUUGUUACUUCUACAUCUGAUGGAAUCAGAUGUUCGGAUAAGAGAAACAAUUAGUAACUAUGGAUAAUAGUAUCCUAUAUUGUUCUUCUAGGUGGGUUACAUCCAAAUCAUUGUAGAAAGUGUGCAAUGUUUGUUUUACGACUCUAGUAGGACAAAAAGUCCAAUUUUUGUUAAUACACGCUGCCUACAACUUCCAAUUAGGCAGUUCGUCACACAAGAUUUCAGACAAAAGAAAUUAUGAGGCCUUCAAAUUGGCCUUCUAAGUUCUUUUGGAGCACAAUGUAAGUCCAGUUGUGAUAUAAUAAACAGAAUGAAACUUGUGCACCCAAUUCUACAUUCUAUCAAGUUCUUUUCAAGAAUAUCAAUAAGACCAAAAAUUUAAUCAAAAAAUUGGAAAAAAUAUAGUAACAAGCCAAUAUGUUGAUGAUAAAAGUAUUCCAAGAGCCAGUUAGGCAAAUUCUUCUAUAAGUAUAUUCAUAUGACAAACAGAUGAACAGCUAGAGAGUUGCCCGACCGAAUCACGUGUCAGACACUCACAAAGUGUGUGGAUUAAUAGCAACGUUAACAUUUCGAUCUUCUAUUCAGAUUGCUCGGGCAUUAGCAUUUUAUCAGCAGGAAGAUGUAAUUGGAAGGUUUCCUAGGAUGAUCACCAUUUCACCAGUCGCUAACACAACAAAAUAAGAUCAAAUCUAUGAAUAAUUACACAACAAUUCAUGCUAUCAAUUCACAUCAAAACGUUAUCCCACAUGAGUCCUACUACUCAAAUUCACAAUCGUUUGAAUCCUAACUUCUUCGAUCUAUCCAAAAUCAUAACUAAUCCCAUCACAGAGCAUGCGAAUUAGGGUUGAGAGAGAGAGAGAGAACCUGAGCGAUGGUCAAGACCUUAGCAUGGCUGGAUUUGACGAGCUCGUCGUACUGCGACUUGAUCCUCCUCUGCAUCGCGCUCCCGAACGAGGACAAGGGGAAGGGGCAACCCACCGCCGCCUCUCUCCACCGCUUAUCUCCGCCCUCCACCUCCUCCUCGGCCGCCCCCGCCGCCGCCGGCGCCGCCGCAGCCCCAUCCUUCGCCUCCUCUCCUCCCUGCCGCUUCUUCCGCCCCCUCUUCUUCCUCUUCUUCUCCUCCCCCUUCCUCCGCUCGCUCUCCUCCUCCUCCCCCUCCCCGACUCCGCACGCCGCCUCCGGAGGAGUGUGCGAGCUGCGUUGGGCUUCGUGGGCCUCGUUGUUCUUGUGCUGAGCCUUGAGGUGAAGAGAGAGUAGGAGGAGGAGGAGGAGGAGGAGGAAGGGGGCGAAGAAGAGGAGGAGAGCUAGUGAUGAGGGUGGUGGGAGUGGUGGUGAUGUCGCCGCCAUGGAUGGGAGCUCGUCAUCCCCCACAGAGCAUAGAAAGGGAGUAGGGGGAGAGAGAGAGACGGAGAGAGUGAUCGGAGUGGAGCAGAAGCGGAGGGUUGGGAUUGCUUCCGAGUCAGGGCUUUGGAUUUCGGAAUACGUGUGGGGGUAGGCAAAGAGAAGGUAAAAUCUUUUGGACCACCGCGGGAUGUUUAUAUAUGUUGAGGUGGAUUCGGUGUGACGGUUGCAUGGGAUUCAUUGUGUUUCUGACAUGUGGGGCCCGCAGUUAGUCGGGGUCCACGUGGCAGCAUCAAUGCGGGGGUGGGCCUUAUCUGUUCGGCUGUAUCACUGACGUGUGGGGCCCGCAGUUCAAAAUACGGGCUUAUUUAUAGGCCGAACUGGGCCCUUAUUAUCCGGCCCAUUUUCUUCAUCAGGUCCAAUAACACGAAGCAACGGGCUUAGUCGUCGUCCCUAUCCUUUACCUUCCUAUUCGAGCCCUUGGAGGCUCUAAGCUCGAGCCCUUCCCUUCAACUCCCCCGAAGCCUCUCCGAUACCCUAACCAUUUCCGUACGCUCCUCCCCCCCCCCCCCNNNNNNNNNNNNCUCUCUCUCUCUCUCUCUCUCUCUCUCUCUCUCUCAAAGCUUAGUGGGGCGAAGAGAGAUAACUACAGAGGCGAUCCUACCAUGAGCCGCUACGAUAGCCGCGCCGGAGACCCCGGCACCUACCGCGACCGGAGAAGGUGACCCCUCCCCAAAACCCCAACCCUAACCUUAAUCCCAACCUUAUGCUAGGGAAGGAGACGAUGCUUCGAGUGGUUGAUGCUUUAAUUCUGUUUUUCCGUUGUUGUUCCAGCGAUGCGGGAUUCAGUGGCGGCGGGAGGGGGUUCGAGUCCUCGAGCAGGAGGGAGGCGCAGGGCGGAGGCGGCAGCGGCGCCGCCGCCGCCGAGUUGGACGGGCUGACGCCAUUCGAGAAGAACUUCUACGUGGAGUCGCCGGAGGUAGCGGCGAUGACGGAGUCGGAGGUGGAGGCCUACCGCCGCAAGAGGGAGAUCACCGUCGAGGGCCGCGACGUGCCCAAGCCGGUCAGGGAGUUCCGCGAUAUUGGCUUCCCAGGUCUCUCUCUCUCUCUCUCUCUCUCUCUCUCUCUCUCAUGGAUUUGUUGCCUAGGGUUAUAGUUUGUUGUAUGACAUUGACUAGUGUAUACUCCGCCACACUUGUAGCUUGACCUAAGUAGCAACGAUGUUGCGAUUGUACCUAGUGAAUUGGAUUUUGUGGUUCCGAAAAUGGAGAAUAGAAGUAAGGUGAAAAGAAUUGGAAUGGGAGACUCAACAAUAUUGAAAUGUGCUUGAACAAUCUUUAAUGGAAAAUGUUGGACUAUUAGUGAUGCGGCAGAGAUAUGGUAAUUGUAGUUCCAAUCAUCCAGGGAUGGUGCGAUAAGAUUACUUGUGCUGGGGCAACUUUCAAGUAAUAUAAAUGACUUUCUAGUUUUUUAGCAAAAGUAUCAAGGGAGGUAAAUUGGACAGCACAACCUUCUCCAUCUUUGGAUUUUAGAAAGACUCCAUUAUUUGUAACCGAUAAGUAAGAGAGCGAGGGAACAGAUACUUUAUAAUGGGCUCUUUAUCGAAGAUAUUCUAAGAGGAGGUUGGAUGCUCUUUAUCCCGCUAGUACUUUCACAAAAUGAAAAGGAAAUUUUUGGUCAAUGAAGUGUUGAAGAAAUGAAGUGAAGUAUGUUUGGAAGUGACAUAUCAAAAACAGAUCCUCAACUAAAGGUAGCAUCUUUUGGUUAUUCUAGGAAUGUCUAGAGCAUUGGUUGCAGAUUGCUUAAGUAGAGUGGACACAAGAUGGAAGAUAAUUCCACUUCCAUGGAAGGAUAGUCCAAUUUCUCUGUUUGCGUUUUUUUGUCAUGUAACAUUGUGUAGUGCACUAGUGCUGUUAGAACUAUUUUGUAUUUUAUCUCAUACGAUGCAAUAUUAUCUUUAUUUUUUAGCCGUGCUUUCUCUUUCAUUGCCUGAUAGUAUUUCUGAGCUGUGUGUGUGUGUGUGUGUGUGUGUGUGAUGAAUGACUAACAUAGGUUGUGCUUGUCAGCAAUAUUUUUCAUCAAAUGUUGAUGGAUUGCGGUCUCUUUUUAGCUUUCUAAACCCAAACUCUUGCUUUUAAUGGAAACUUUGUUUUGCUUUUGUCACGCUUAUCACUACAUUCUGGGAAAGAUGUUUCUGUUAUGCAAUAGGGGAUAGCAUAACUAUUUUACCUUUCAUUUUGUAGAUUAUGUUAUGCAGGAAAUCUCAAGAGCUGGUUUUGUUGAGCCUACUCCUAUUCAAGCACAAGGCUGGCCAAUGGCAUUGAAAGGUCGUGAUCUUAUUGGCAUCGCUGAAACAGGAUCAGGAAAAACACUUGCGUAUCUCCUACCUGCCAUCGUUCAUGUUAAUGCUCAGCCAUUUUUAGGUACAAACUUGUUGCCUUUCCAUGUCAGACACCAAUCAAAUUUAACUACUUUGCGACUACUUUUUAAAUUCUUCAUCUUGUCUUCUCUUAAGCACCUGGUGAUGGUCCAAUUGUCUUGGUAUUGGCCCCGACCCGUGAACUUGCUGUCCAGAUACAACAGGAGGCAACCAAAUUUGGGGCAUCUUCAAAGAUUAAAAGCACUUGUAUAUAUGGUGGUGUUCCAAAGGGACCUCAAGUUCGUGAUCUCCAGAAAGGUGCUAAUUUCUUGUUGAAUAUUUUACUCUAUUUGCUGUUUCAUUUAAAUUAAUUAGGGCACAUUAUGGCAAUUGUUGAUGCCAACCAUGUCUUAGUAUGAAACAAAAUGGCGACCUUAAAAUAGAGAAAGGACAAUAAUGAUCCCAAAAACACCCGUAGUUUUUCUUUUCUUUAUCAGGGUGUGGUUUUCCAUGCUUACUUCAUAUCCCUUAUUUUUACUGAGAUAGAGGGUAAACUGAAUGAAUUUAAUGGACGGGAUUAUACUUGUCAGGUAAAAAUAUUGUCAUGGCAAUAUUAGGCUAAACUAGAGACCCUUAAUGUUGAUAUUUUCUUUUGAAUAAUGCUUUUGUAUCAGGUGUUGAAAUCGUAAUAGCUACGCCCGGGCGAUUGAUCGAUAUGUUAGAGUCUCAUCAUACAAACUUAAGAAGGGUUACAUAUCUUGUUCUGGAUGAAGCAGAUCGUAUGCUAGACAUGGGGUUUGAACCUCAGAUCAGGAAAAUUGUUUCUCAGGUACACAAGAUUUUCCUCCCCCUUCUGCUGUUGUUCUUAGGAUAUAUUUCAUGACAAAAUAUUUGUAAAUUGAAGACUCUGGAGAUGCUAUGUGUCAUGGCUUUUUUACUCUAGCAACACCUCACAAGUAUGCUCUAUUGAGGUCAGCUGCAGAGCACCCAUACAUGUUUUCCGAUGAUGCAGUUUGUCUUCUUAAUGAUUAAUGUUAUGCUCCCUUCUAAUGGAGUAACAUUAUUAUAUCUAAACCAGUAAAAGGUUAUUACCCAGUCAUGAUUCCCCUAAAAUGAUGUUCUGGGAGGAAGACCAUACUGAGAGUCCUAUCUUCUCAGUGCUUUUGGACAGAAUGGUUGCUCUAAAUUCUAAUGAGUUGAACUUGCAUUACCUCUUCACGUUUUAAUGGCUUACUCCAUAUUAUAUUCACACCAUAAAGUUAUUACCUCAAAAAACGGGAUGAAUAAUUUAUUCUUUAAUUGUCAGAAUUGUCGCGUUUUAGAGAUUUAGUACUUAUCUUCUGGCUUUAUCAUAGGAAAAUUGCUUACAGUUGUUUUUAAUUGUUCACUGCAUUAUAGAUCCGCCCUGAUCGUCAAACUCUCUACUGGAGUGCUACUUGGCCGAAGGAAGUUGAACAGCUAGCAAGGCAGUUCCUCUACAAUCCAUACAAGGUAAAUAUAUCAUGGCCAAGCAAGGCUUUGCAGGUGGGUUCGUUGCAUUAUAUCAUCUUUACCACAUCUGACCCGAUCGGCUCCUGACUGUGGCACAGGUGAUUAUCGGUUCUAUAGACUUGAAAGCUAAUCAUGCUAUUCAUCAGCGUGUAGAGAUUGUAUCAGAGAGUCAGAAAUAUAACAAGUAGGAGUCCCUUAUAACGAUGAUUUGCUAAAGAAGAAUAUUUUUAUGUGUGAUAUUAUAAUAUUUUCCAUUAUUCUUUCCAGAUUGGUGAAGUUGUUGGACGAUAUAAUGGAUGGUAGCCGGAUAUUGAUUUUCAUGGACACCAAGAAGGGAUGCGACCAAAUCACAAGACAGCUGAGGACAGAUGGUUGGCCUGCUUUAUCUAUCCAUGGGGAUAAGAGCCAAGCAGAAAGAGACUGGGUUCUCUCUGAGUUUAAAUCUGGGAAAAGUCCUAUUAUGACAGCUACUGAUGUUGCCGCUCGUGGUUUGGGUAUGUUCGUGGAGGACAUCUUGUUAACUCUUAAGGCCUGUUUGGGAUGGCUGUAGCUUAUAGAGAACUGCUGUUUGGAUAACUAUUUGAAGAAUCACUUAUAUCUUUCCUAUAAAAUCCCUUGUCCGGCUUCUUGCUGCGUCAAAGGCUUUAAGCUGGAGCUUUUGUUUUUGGGCCGAAAAGGUCAUUUUAGCUUCACACCAAAGCAAAAGUUCCAGAUUACUCAUUAGCUAGAUGCAUUGUUUCUGGGAACUCUUACAUUCAUGAAUGUAGAAGCUGAUCAAGAAUCCAUGCCAAAUGGGCACUACAUUAGGAAGUUUAUUAAAUUGCCUUAACUGCUGUUCUUUUUUAUAAAAUAGAUGUGAAAGACGUGAAAUAUGUGAUCAACUAUGAUUUCCCGGGAUCUUUGGAGGACUAUGUUCAUCGUAUUGGUCGUACUGGGAGAGCAGGAGCCAAAGGAACGGCAUAUACCUUCUUCACAGCAGCUAAUGCAAGAUUUGCCAAGGAUCUAAUCAAUAUACUAGAAGAAGCAGGGCAAAAAGUAAGUCCUGAACUGGCUGCAAUGGGUCGCGGUCCCCCACCUCCCUCUUCAGGUUUGUAUUCUAUUACCUCUUAUAUAUUCUUGUUUUUUGGUGCAAUAGCAUUUGGCUGCUUGCUUGCAUCUCGCAUUUUUCUUUUUCUUUUUUUUUUUUUAACCUUUUUAAAAUACCAACAUAUGGUAUUGGAGGAACAUGGAAGAUCCCCAUCACAGCAAAUUAAACUUAAAGACCUCUCACUAGGGAGAGAGGUUACAAACCACAUGGCAAGAAAUACACUGGUCAGCAAUGGAAAAGUGCAUCUUUUCUAGUUGCUAGUGAGUGUUUAUUUUAACUGGACCAUCUAAUCAGUUUGGUUGCUGAUAUUAUUUUGAUCUUUAGGGUCCUGUAUUGUAUAAUUAAAAUGUCGAAGAGAAAUUUUGUAGUAAGCAUAACUUGUGUGAGCAACAGUAAAGUUUAAGUGACUGAUGAACUAUGAGGUGUGAUUUGGUCAUGAAUUUUGAUUGUUCUUCAAGCUAAGAAUUGAUCCAAAGUAGUGUUCCAUUGUUAUGUAACAUUAGGGACUGUUCUGAAUAAUUACUUUUGGACAGGUCAUGGAGGUUUUCGUGAUCGGGGUAGGGGUUUUGGUGGUGGCCGCUCAUGGAAUUGAUUUAUCUACUUCUCGUUCAUUUGGCAUAUUACUGCUAGAAGUGGAGGUGAGUAGACUUUGUUUCUGAGGCCAUGUAAAUCCGGCAUGCACAUUUGGCUUGCUCGGGCUGCAACUAUUAAGCACUCCAGUAAAAUGAACUUUUUGGUAUCAUCCUCUUUCGAGAUAGAUACUGUAGCCUUUCCCAUUAAAGACUAGCAAGCCGUGAUGUGAGGUUAUGUUUUGCCUCCCCCUUAUUUUGUGAAAUACAUUCAACACCCGAAGAAAUAGGCAGUAGCAUAUAUAUAACUGACAGUCUAUUGCGCACUGUUUGAGUUUUUGCGCUGGGAUGUAUUAAUCUCAUAAUCUUAUUAGAAUUAAAUGAGUCUCAUAAUCUUAUUACAAUUAAAUGUUUAAAUAUUAAUGUUGAACCUUGAGAUUUCAUUCUGCAAGUUUAUUUAGUUGAUAUUUUGAGUCUUUGAGUUUUGUUACAUUAGUUCCGACUUCUCUUGAUAAGUGCUUCCAUGACUUUUUACGGUCUUUUGUUGAUCUCUCUCUAAAUUCAUGCUUCUGCCUUCAUACGUUUUUUUUUUUUUUUUUAACCCCUCUUGCAUCCAAGUUGACGUGCAGGAAGUGGAAUUGAUUGCCUUGUAAUACAUAUGAUAGUACUGCUUGUAGUAGCGGCAUCACAGUAACUACUUUGUUCCUCAGGCUUAAUCACAUAGAAUAGAAUCUACCGGAGAAUUUGUUUGUGUGUGGUCCAAAUGUAGAUCCAAAUUGUGGUAGAAAAAAAUUGAAUUGGAGUAAAUGCAUAAUGAGUGUGAGCCUUAUAUAUUACUUUGAUGAUGUUAGUUUCUGGUAUUCCUCUCCUGUUUUUUUCUUUUUUUUCCCUGCUUUUGUUUUCUCUGUCCUUGUACUGUUGCCUUACUUCUCCCCAAGAUAAAUACUAGCCAACAUUAGAUCACGUAGCCUCUAAUUAGUGAUUGCUAGAGACUGACCAAAGAUUUCGAUGUCUCAUCACUCCCAAUUUGUGGACGGAGUAAUAUAAAUUUGCUUCUGGGCUAGCUAUUUAUUAUAUUAGUGCUUAUUAUUGUUCACAAAAAAGAGGCCACUUAUCAUACGUUUGCUGGGCCAAGCAAGAGUUUCUGCAUUGGUUUCUUUGAUUUGUAAUAUUUCGAAAAUACUUUAUAUGCAUUCCAGAAACAGCUUCAAAAGAUUAAAAUCUCCCUAUAAUGCCUUAAUUGUAGUUAAUUUAUAGUUUUCUGUUUGAAACCAACUCUUUUCGCCUUAUGUACAUCUUCUUUUAUUCUUUUUUUUUUUUUCUUUUGUAAAGAUAUAUAUUUCUUAAAGCUAAGUCCCCUGUGAUCUGAUCUUUUCCCUAUGAUAACAUUUCGCAGCCUACUCUGAACCCUAGGACGGCAAAAUUGUAUCCUCAUAAGAGAAUAAAUGGGCCCUUCGCAAACCUUCUCCUCUCUUCAUCUAGCAUCUUUUCUUUUAAUGCCCUAGAGGUGGCCUAACCUUUUCCCAGUGUGCAUGGGACAUUUCCGAUUGAGAGAGUAUCUAUUGGACCCACUCGUCUCUUUGUUUUCCCCCCUUUUCUUUACUGAUCUAUGUAAAACCUAGCGUAGUUUCCCAAACAGGAAGAUACCUUAUGUGAAAAAGGGGAAGGGGAAGUAAAAAAAAAAAAAAAAAAAAAAAAAAAAAGAACCCUCAAGAGACACAACAUAUAGAUGCACUUCGUUGGAAGGACCAUUCACGAAAAGAGGAAGAGGGAGGGUGUGGGCGUGGACCAUUAAAGCACCUAUAUCUGCAGCCCUCCACUAGAUCAAAAAGGAGUCAAAUAUAUGAAUGAUCCAUGUACUGUCCCAAUACAACAGUUUAUUUUCUGCUGCACUUUCAAAUUUAAAUACUUCACGAUCACUCUCCGCGCGCUAUACUUUGGUCUCUAAACAUUCGGAAAAUCAAAUCACACUUUCAAAGUAAGAUAAUAUAUGACCAUACUUGGAAGUAAACUGAGACAACUGAAUCACUACUUAUCUAGAUAGAAAAAGGUAAAACAUGAAUCGCGUUUCCAUAUGGGAAUAGUAGAGGGGAUGUACAUGCAUGUAUAUCUCUACUUGGUUGAGAUCAAGAUCAAGAUCAAGAUCAAGUGUGGGGAUAGGUAGGGCUCCAAACCCACUCAACAAUGAUCUCUGCUAUUACUGAUCUCAGCUCUCCCCCACCCUCCAUGGAAAGGAGUGGGUGGGUCUCUUUCAUAACUCUGCAGUGUGCACUAAUAAUAAGUGGUGAGAGGGAGGGACAUCUUGUGUUGCCACAGUUGGUGUAUGGUCUCAGUCAGGUUUGUGUGGUAAGGGACUGUUGUUAGGUCAUCUGGGCCAGCAUUAGGUGCAAUUUUUCUGUGGACCUGUUCCACCAUAUCAUACUUGCUUUUCUUACAUCUGACCNCCCCAUUUCUCGUUGCUUAAAAGUUUGUCCGGAUGUCUGAAUAAGUCAUUCAGCGGCAACUUUGCACUUCAUUUUAUUUUCUUUCUUUUUUUUUUGUGUGAUUGCGAUUCAGAACUUUUGCUUUCAGUUUAUCAUUAGGCGUGACAAAUCAUAAAGCAUUUCAUUCCGCAUAUGGUGUAAUUUAAAGUUCUUAUAUGUUAUGUUAUCAUACUCAUUUUCAUUCUUUGUAAGGCCACUAAGAAAAUGAAAAUAAAAAUAAAAUAUCGAACUUUGCAUUCGCAAACGAAAUUUCUCGUAACAGAGUACUAAUUAACUACUACUCUAGGUCGAAAAGAUCAAUACAAUACAUAAACUGUUGCCUUAUAAUUGGGACAUCCAAAAACAGCCUUAAUGCAAUUUUCGAAUAAUUUGACUCGUACUAGCUUUUGAUAUUGAUAGGAACACAUUGCAUGAGCCCUCACUCUGCUUUAGUAAUCAGCUUUUGCCUUGUGGGCCCUAAUGAAUGUUGUGAUUCUUAUUCAUUCAGCGUAGGUUUCAUUGAUGACAAAAUGGCUUUUGGAAGAUCACUUGCUGUGUAAAUCGCUUACUCCAAGAUCCCUCCGGAAUUGGUAAGUGAUAUCGACAAGAAAAUUCCCUGAAUGUAAUGAUCUAAAUUAGACCAAUUUUGAGUCCUACGUACUCUCGCAAAAACAAAAGUUUAUGGGACCAUUCUCGCAGUGAGCUUGUUAAAUCUAGCGUCUAUUAUUGUUCGUGAUUCAAGCACCGUAUAUACAGAACUUAUCUGCUGUAUGGACCAUUUUGAGUCAGUUGUCUAAUCCUUCAAAAUUUUAUUUUACGUUAUAACUGACUAAAUCUGUAAAGAUGAACGACGAAUUCAAAUUUUAAGAUUAAAAUACUGUUUACUGACUCAAAUCAAAUAAAUUAAAAUAUUGAAUAGUAAAAUAAAAUUUAUGAAAGAUUGGAUGGUCAACUAAAAAUGAUUCAUAAUUCAAAAACUAGUAUUUACGUUUUUACCUAUAAUAAUGAAGAAUGAAUUUGAUGAUCUCAUUACAAUAAUGGUUUUAUAAAAACUUUUAUUCCUUUUCUCUCUCACUUGAUGAGGUCCAAAUGUUACAAAAGGUUACAUGUGUAAUCCAACGAAAUAUAUAAUAGCUAGGGCAAGGGGGUUAAAUGACUAGGGAGUAUCAUUAUCAAUAUAAAAAAAAACAUUAAUUAUUUAUAAUCUCCAUCAUGCAUGAGGUCAUUUCCACAUGAGCAAUGCUACCUUAAUUAACACCUAUAUUAUAGGUGCAAAUUUUACACUCUACACCGUCCACAGCCCAGAUUUAAUCACUUAUCUAACAAUUUUUUUUAAUACUAAAAAUCUAAAAUAAGUUUCUAAAUUUUAGAAUUAUGGGAUAUAGUAAAUACACCUCCACAAAACCAUUAUAAAGCUCCCUCAUCCUUUAUUUCCCAUUUUUGAUCAUCACACAUCAUGAUUAAAAAAAAAAAAAAACCAACUCUAAGAACUGAUAUGUACACACACUACUAACAUACCCAUCUAACAACCAGUUCAAAUGAAAAAUUAUAUUAAAAACAUAAAAAAAUAAUAUAAAUUUUUUAGAGUGAGGCUACUAUGCUUCCGGAAGUACAGAGCCUUCCGUGCUUUCAGGUCGUUUUUCAUGUUGCGACUUUCGAAUUAUCGAUCGGCUCUGUUAAACUUGAUCUAGAGUAUUUGAAGUACCUAGAAAAUAAAUUAUGCGAUUUUUCGAUAUUAUUUGCCUAGUGAACGAAGGGGCUCAAAAUCAACGACUGAAAAUAAAAAUCUUACAAAAUGUGAUAAUAUGACAUUAAAAUUUUAGAUCAAAAAUAUUGAUUUUGUUUUAUAUAGUAUAAAAAAUUUUCUAUCAAAAUUUCACGUGAUUUGGAUAUUUCUACACUGUUAAAUUUGCAAACGGCUCAUUACGAUCAUUAAAAUUAUUGAUUUUGAGCCCCUUCGAUCGCUAGGCAAAUGAUAUCGAAAAAUCAUAAAAUUUAUUUUCUAGGUACUUCAAAUACUUUAGAUCAAGUUUAACAGAGCCGAUCGACGAUUUGAAAGUCGCAACAUCGAAAACGAUCUGAAAGCACGGAAGACUUCGUGCUUCUAAAAGCACAGUAGCCUUACUCAAUUUUUUAUAUUUUUAAUUGUUGGUGUGAUUAUGAUAUGCGUUCUUAAGUUUAGCAUGACCAGACAUGGAGCAGCAGAAGCAAGAAGCCAGAGGUUGGGUUUCCCUAGGAAGCUGAAGCUGUAGCUUUUGUAGGCUUCUCUCUAGGCUCUGCACACUCCUGCCCCCUCCAGCCCUCCUCCUCUCCAAAGUCCACACUUCCCAAAAACCAGCUUUUAACUAGUCAAAGUUCAGACCCCUUGACCAAAUUAACUGUGUCUCUGUCCCCACAAAAUUUAAUUCUCUUGUAUACUGUGAUAUAUAUAUAUAUAUAUAUAUAUAUAUAUAUAUAUAGAGAGAGAGAGAAAGAGAGUUGAGCUAAAAUACUCUCGAAAGCAUCAAGAGAGUGAUACUUUUAAAUUUUUAGUUACUGGAUGAAGAGAUAUAAGAUUGGGAUGAUAGCGGUAGGUGAUGGUAGAUGGAAUAGUGUUUAAUCCAAGAGCUAUAAUUAGUAAUCAAGGAGUAGAUCCAAGGACUAGAAAUCUAGAAGCACUAAGGGGUUAGUGCUUCUAAAAAUAUUCUAGCUCAAUUCUAUAUAUAUAGAGAGAGAGAGAGAGCAUGAUAUACUAUCGAUAGCACGGAGGCCUCCGUGCUAUCAAGUUAUUUUCAAUGAUGCUGCUUCCAAAUCGACGAUCAGCUCUGUUAGACUUGAUCGAUCUAUACUAUCACAUAUAUAUAUAUAUAUAUAUAUAUAUAUAUAUAUAUUAGAGCUAUUAUAAAUCUCUUUGUACUCAUAAAUUUUCGAUCAUUUAAUGAAAAAAUAUAUAGUUAGGAUGAUAGUGGGCCUUUAGAAUAGAGUGUGUAAUUAGUUGAAUAGUAUAAUUUAACAAAUAAAAAUGGUCAAAAGAAUAGAUCUAAUGGCUGAAAAUUUAUAAGUACAAAAGAGUCUAUACUCAUAAAAGUAUAGUAGGCAAUAUAUGUAUAAGAUGAAAAAAAUUUGGGAGACUCCCCCAACUAUAAGCCUCUUAAUUUGAAAGGGCUAGCUCCUCACAACUUAAUAGUUUUAACAACAUUUUUUUUUGACCGACCGUCCCUAAAGCAAGUAGCAAAGGACUUAGUGGUUGGUACCCGAGGUCCCAAAUUCGAAUCCUAGUUGAUUCAUAUUUCCAGCUAAGUUUAUUUUUUAAUGAAAUAAACGAAGCAGGUAGCGUGCUACCUAUCUCUCAAAAAAAAAAUUUUUUUUUUGACAAAUAAAGCUAAAAUUAUUAACAACUAAUAAUACUUUUUUACUUAACUAAUUAGAAUAACAAGUUUAGAGAGCGACUAAGACGAAAAGUAGAGUCGAGAGGCAUAUUUCAAAAUUGCCUACUCUUACGAAGCUGUCUCCAUACAUUUGUUAUCUUAUUAUAAAUUCGUAGUGUAGGUCUACGGAGGAUAUAUAUAUAUAUAUAUAUAUAUAUAUAGUAAAUAUACAACAUAAUGUACAGGGUCUCUUGUGCAAAAAGUACGACCCCACGUGCGCCUGUGUUCUUCUCAUCCCGUGUUCACACGUGCGCAGAAGAGGAUCUUGGACCGAGUCAGAGUUGCAUGCAUGCGUGGGGUUUUUAACUCUUCCUUUUCACACGGAUGGGCAUCCUCCCCUUCAUUCUUACUGUUGGGAAAUUUACAAUUUGGUCGUCCUCGGCCACCCACCUGUGGGCACAUGUGAACACACACACAUCACACACAUGCAUGCACUACAUACACCAUCAUGCGUGGGAUCAAUAUACAUGCAUGGAGAAUGACACAUGCAUACAUUUUCGGUUUGCAUUCAUUUUUCCUCUGAAGAUCAAUCACAUCAAAGACAUUAGGAUUUUUUUUUAAAAAAAAACUAAGAUGGUAAAAACAAAAGUUAUUGAAUGUUUCGAGUUUAGAGUGAUAUGUAGUUUGAAAAGCAAAGAAAACAUGGUUAAUUAAUGGUUCAAAAAUUUAAAGAAAAAGAAAACAAAAAAUCAAAGUUCGAGAAGUACCUAAGUAGCUACUUCAAAUUGUCCUACACAUGCAUAUAUAUACUUUUAACUCCUCGAAAAUGCUGUUAAUUUAGAUAUCAACUAAUUAAAUGAAACGGAUUUUAACAUUCUUUUUUCAGGGAAAAAAAAAUUAAAGCUUUUUCUAAAUAAAUAUAUGUACGAAUAACAAGAAGUAUGAGUAAAAAAGAACAAAUGGAGAAUGAGACAAAUGAACACCUAUAGCAAUAGAUGACAAGCUAAUGUUUUUCGAUUUUUCAUUUGUUAUGGAAUAAAUUUCAAGCAAUGGACAACAAAAUGUGCACCUAACAUGCCGCAUCAAUAAAUAAAUAAGACAAAAUAAUAAAUAAGACAAAAAUAGGAAUAUUGCCAAAUCAUAAAUCACUACAAGAAAAAUAAUGCUUUUUCGGUAUUUAAUGAUGCUGAAAAAUGUUUCGAAAUAGUCUGUUAAUCAUAAUUAAAAGCGUCAGCAAAUAAAAAGUUGCAACAUAUAACCCGGCGCUUAUGCCAAGCGGCGGCAAAACAUAUCUCAAUGUUUUUAAGCGUCGAAAAAUUAAAAAUAAUAGAAAAGCUUAUUAUUCAAUAAAAUAAGUUUUGUUAAAAAGUGUCCUUAUAAUAAGAUUUUUUUUAUAGCGUUUGUAGUAGUAUUGACAAUAAGAAUAAUUAGUGAUAAGAGAUGCCAAUGCGUUUGUACUUGGGUAUAUUUUGCUUACUUAUAUUGAUUACAUCUGUUACAUUAUAUACGUAUUAUAUUUUUUUAUCAUUCAUUAUAUACCCCUAAAUUAUCUAUAAUAUUUUUAUUUGAUCAACUAAAUUAAAUUUUAUUAACUACGUACCAAAGUAUCUCAAUUAAAGAUUCAAAAAUAAAGCGAAGGAUGACACGUGCCAAGGACACAUGACCAUGUGGACAUGUCACACACUUCAUUGGUCCACCUUGGAUCAUUGACCACUUGUGUGUGUAGAGACUUCUAUACUUUCAAAAGAACAGCUUUGUGCUUGUAAGUUAUUUUUAAUAAAAAAAACAUCCGAUUCGACGAUCAAUUUUGUUAGACAUAAUUCAUAUUAUUAGAAUUAUCUAUAAAUUAAAUUUAUAAUUUUUUAACUUCAUUUGCUUAGUGAACAAAUAAACUUAAAAUAAAUAACUGAAAAUAAAAAUAUCAUAAAAAAUAGUGAUAAAAGACUCAAAUUUUAAAUCAAAAGUAUUGAUUUUGCUAUUGAUGUUAAGUAAAAUUUUUUUACUAAAUUUUCAUAUAAUUUGAAUUGUUAUACACCGUUCAACUUAAAAACGUGUUAUAUCAACCGUUAAAAUAAUUAUUUUUGAGAUAUUUUUAUCACUUAGUAAAUGAUGUCGAAAAAUUAUAAAAUUUAGUUUAUAGAUAGUUCUAAUAGCGUAAAUUAUAUCUAACUAGCGAAACUGAUCAUCGAAUUGGAUGUCUUAUUAUAGAUUACAAAUAUAGAUGUUUCCAUAUAUUCCAAAGCAGAAAAGACGUACUCUCUCUCUCUCAAAAUAUAUAUAUAUGCUCAUCAAUGUUCUCUAAUAAGGUUCGUGCACAGGUGCGGUUUAGUGCGUGUGCCUCGUGCUUAAGCUUAAUUAGCUCAUCCCCUCACAUGCGUACGUAAACCCCGGCCUAAUAAAAAAGAGCAGGUACGUGGGGGACGGUGCGUGCCAUGCACAUGUGUGCUCCAUGCUUAAUGUAUAAAUAAAAAAUAAAUAUGUAUAAUUAGUAAAUAAGCAAAUAAAGCAUAAAUUGUACCAUCAAUCGAAUCCUCAAAUUAUUGUGCAGAUUCUCCUUAACAAUCUCCAACUUUAAUUUCCAUGUGUUUUACUUCUACUAUUAUUAUGGAGAGAUAUUACAAUCAAAUUUUGUACGAUAUAUUUCUGUCCCUUAAUCAGUCUAAAAAAAUAAUGGCAUGUCAUUUUGAUCCUUAAAUACCGGUAAAAUUCGACCAAAUUAUUUUCUACAUAAUUUCGUGUUUGUACGUUCAUUGGUUUUAUAAAAUAAUAAAACUUGAUUGCGAUAGAUCUGAUAUUCAAAAAAUUAAAUCCGCAAAAUGGAUUGAGGAGAUAUGAAAUAUUAGAGAAUUAAUCAGUGGCUAUGUUAUGUUAUAUAUAUAAAAAAAAGAAUAUCCUUACGUGAAGUUGGUGACCAAGUGGUGUAGAAAGAUGGAAGCUUCCAGCCUGGCCAGAUCAAGCCCUGGGCACAGCCUCUGCCCACCUCCAAAAGGAGUAAAGCUCCAAGUACUGAUGUCCUUCUCCUGUGCACAUGUCGGGUUAGAUACAUAAAAUAAUAAUAGAAAAAAAAAGUGAACAAGCUAGAAUACUAUUAAUAGUACUAAGUCAUUGAUAAUAUUAAGUUUUCGACUUUUAGAUGAAGCGAUGAGGGUUACGAUGAUAGUGGUCAUCUAGAAUUGAAUGAGUGAUUAGUUAAAUAGUAUGAUCUAACGGAUGAAAAUGAUCAAAAAAGUUGAUCUAACGGCACAUAAAACUUUGGUAGCACCAAAUGUUUGGUGCUACGAUAGCAUUGUAGGGACUGAAAAAAGAUACCUAAAUAUAUAGAUCUUGGAUAAGAUAAGCAAUCAAUAUACAUAGAUUGAGAUAGAGAUAGGCAUAGAUAGAGAAAGAAAAGAAAAGGAGAGAGAGAGAGAUAUAGGUACACCAGCAACUUGCAUGAAGUUGACAAACACCCUCUCCUCUCCUCACUUUUAUUUCCCUUGUGUUGUGUAAAGGAGAGGCAGAUCUCUCUACAUAAAUCAAUCAUAAUACACGUACAGUGGGGCAAUUUAUAAUUCUGUUUCUCUCUUUUACCUUCCACCUCCAUGGAUUGAACUUGUAGGGAUCCUCAUAAAGGCUCUCGUCGAGGUGGACCGAUCGGAAGUACGUGAACACGCACCACCCUUUCGGGAUGAAGUGCCCUUUGAUCUCGACGUCCCUCACCGCUUUGCGCAUUAUGCCGCUGAUUAUGUUCCCCAUGCGUAGGGUUUCCGCUAUCGCCUGUUGAGUUAAUACAUCAUGCAUUACGCUUAAUUACUAUUUAAUUACUAGUCUUAACCUAAUAUGAUCGCCUAUAUAGAACAUAUAUAAUCACGUGUAUAUAUGGAGAUACUUACGUGUUGUGUGAAUGAUAAAGACAUGUAGUCGGUCCACUCUAAAUUCUCCCCCUUCAUUAGCUUUUUCUCCCUUAGUUGCAUGUUUUCUUCCUGAGAUAGUUCCAAGUAAUUUAAUUUGAUAUACGAUCACAUGGACCAUAUAUAUAUAUGUAUAUAUAUAUAUAUAGAUUGUUUUGACGGAAAGAGCCACAUAUUAUUAACCUAAGCUUGUUAUUGACUUGGGUAUUAUAACGUUUUAAUUAAGUUGUAAAAUUCACUAUACAUGUAACUCCAUAAGGACAAAUUUAGCAGCAUUAUUAAUUGUUGGUGGAAGCUAACAACCAGUAGGUGACUAGAUCAUUCACUAGCAAGAAGCGCCCGAGUUCAAAUUUUAUUACAAUUUUCGACUAGAAUGGAUUAAUUAGACAAUCAAAGACCAACACAUGACAAGUGACUUAAAAAUGAUAUCUCAUUGCCAAAUACAAUAAAUUAGAUAGAACGUAACCAUAUCUUCUUCUAUUCUUUAAUAGUGGUAGGGUCUGUUUUAACCUAUUAAUUUAUACUAAUAAUAGAUAGAACCAAUUAAAUUAAAGAUAUCGAUGAUUAGAAACUACGAAGAAUGUAAUGUAAUUAUGUAAAUCGCAUUACCUCUAAUUGCUUGAGAGCUAGAGGGCAUUCACUGAGAUACUUGACCGCUAACGUGACGAGAACGGGAACCGAGUCCUCAGCAGGAAUCAUCAAAUCGAUCAUAUUAUCCGAGAUCAACUCGUCGGUCAAUAGAUUGCUACUGUCGUUAAUCAACACAUCGAUCGCAUCUCGAGGAGCGCGACUAUUGGUGUUCCUCCUCUUCUCUUGGAUGAUUUUUUGAAUUAACGUAGCCAUCCUCUUCUUUGCCUAUAGGAAUUGAUGAGCAUUACAUAUUUCUAACAUUCUUAAUUAGUAAUACAUCAACAUGAACAAUGCCAUACAAUCUCUACGUGCGUAGGAAUAAAUUAAUGGUGCAUCAUGUUGUCAAUUGAAAGAGUUAGAUUAAAUUAAUUACCUUUAGUGAUCUAUAAAGCCUGCUCCCUGGUACUUUAAUUGGCAAGGACAUCAACCCAGCAAUAAAUUCUUGGAACUGUUGCUUCAGGAAGUCCAUUUCCUUCCCUGGCUCCAACCCAAUCAACCCUUUCACCAGUAUUUGGAACACAAUCUGUUGGGGCAAAAUACGAUUCCACAAAUUAAUUAGCUUAUCAACUCCAUAAAACCAUCAAUAAUCACAUGAACAAAGAUAUAUCUUCGCAUGCAAAAAUUAUUAUCAACAAAACAGCCGGGUCAAGUCAAUUUCAUAAACUAUAAUUUUCACUCCGUAUUUGAGUGUGCGUUGCGCGUAUGACUAUGUUUUUAUUCCACGAAAGGUAAAGGCCCACAAAAUUAAUGGUGAUAACAACGGGUAGGCACAAGCAUCGCCCCGACCCCUUGAAAGCUCAUUGAAUUCAAUCACUGUGGCCGUUCUUAGACCUUCCAUGUGGUGACACAGGUGUGCACGCGUGCAUCCUUAAUGUGUGUCAGAGAAUGAAGCAAAGCUAACAAGAGAGAGAGAGAGAGAGAGAGAGAGAGAGAGAGAGAGAGAGCGAAAAAAAGAACAAAAAAAAGAAAAAAAAAAAAGAAGAAGAAGAAGGGAGAUCGAUUAAUUAAUACGAGUCUAGAUAUUUUGGCCUACUUUAGGGAGUACGAUCCUACUGUGAGUAAAUAUUUUUAUAUGCAAAUAUUAAAGUAAAUUUUCUUUAAAUCCUAUUUCUAAUUUUUGAAACUUUGUAGUUAAUUAACCAAAUAUAUUAUUACAGAAAAAUAUUUAUAUCCGUCGAAUUAUACGUGUACGCAGAAUAAAUUAUUUUUUUGUAUAUUAGUACGAGUUUUACGGCAGUUUUUUAUAUUCUAAUUUUACAUACACCUAUAUAAUUAUGCGUAACCACAAUUUAAUAAUAAUAAUAAAAAGAAAAGGAGGACUAACCAAUUUGGCUUCAUCUUGUAUGCGGACGAGGUGCGGGCGAUGAUGAUCAGGACCGUCCACAGGCCAGCGGGCCAUGGAGGAGGCCACGUAGCGCUGCAUGUCGCUGGUGAUCUGCGCCUUCAGGUGCGGCGACUUGAAGAAGGCGCCGAUCAGGCCGUGCACGCGGCGCUGCAGGCCGCCGUUGAUGAGCAGGAUCGACGACUUCCCCAUCAACUCCGUCAGCGACUUCGGGUACGACGGCACGAACGAUCGCGCGUCGCUCUGCAGCACGAACCGGCUCACCUCCGCGUCCGUCGACACGAUCGUCGGGCUCCCGAAUAUGUGCGACUUGAACACUCUCCCGUACCUUAUUCAAACAGAUUCACAAAUUAACUACCUACCUACCUACCUACCAACCUACGUCUCAAAACUCAAAAAUUACUUAGUUUUAAAUUUUAUUUAACGAAUAAUAAUAAGAUUAAGAAGCGGCUGAAUUCAGAUGUGAUACUAGCUUCAUUAAUUAGAAAGUGGGCGGGAACGAAAGUCGACAAUGGCUCACUUCCGCCACCGCAUUAUCAAUAAUUAAUUUAUUAUAUAUAUUUUUUUUUCUUAAAAAAAGUUGAUAAAAUUAGUUUUUAAUAAUUAUGAUAAAGUAAGUGAAUUUUAAAAAAUAAUUAGUUAGAGACGUCGCGUCUCAUCAAUAGUAAUAUAACUGAUGUAUUCUAAAAAAAGAGAGAGAGGGAGAGGGAGAGGGGAAGGAAGCUCACAAGAGGCGGCGCUUCUCCAUGAAGGUCUCCGGGCACGGAGAGUAGGCGGCGGAGACGAAGUCGAUGGUUUCGCCGACGAAAGGCCACCCGAGAGAGCCUCCGGGGAGUUGGGCUCUUCUCAGCUUCUUCCUUCUCCCGAGCACCCAACUCUUAACAUGAAAGAUCGAUGUUACUCCCACAAUAAUAAUUAUCACUAACACGGCUGCGCACAGCAACAUCAACAACCAAGUGCUCAUAUUGAGAGAGAGAGAGAGAGAGAGAGAGAGAGAGAGAGAGAGAAGAGGAGAAGUAGAGUAGGGAAAUUUUGGUGUUCGAGAAGGCAAAGUACAAAGUAGGAAUUUAAAAGGGGUAGGGGGAGUUCCCCCUCUACAAAUAAAUGGUUGCAUAGUCCCCACCUCACGCGUCUAUGAUUGUAUGGCGCUACAGUACCUUUUCAUUUAUGUUCUAUUUUUCUUUUGUUCAUAUAUUUAUUUUAUUUAUUUUUGUACUUUUCGGAUCGACUCCCUGUAUAUGUAUAGCUACUAGUAAUUAACCGGGUGCGGCACAAUGUACAUACGUACAUAUUUAUAGGCUGGGCCUAUUAUAUUCUUAUACUUUUAUGAGUAUAAAAUUUUUUGUACUCAUAAAUAUUUAAUCGUUGAUUGAUGAAAUAUGUGGUUAGAAUGAUGGUGGUUCCCACGUAGAAUGAUAGUGGUUCCUUGAGUUGAGUGGGUAGUUAAUUGAAUAGUAUGAUCUAACGACUGAAAAUGAUUAUAAAAUAAAUCUAAGAGCCGAAAACUUAUGAGUAUAAGAAUAUAUAUAUAUAUAUAUAUAUAUAUAUAUAUAUAUAUUGUGUGUGUGUGUGCACCUCCUCGUGCACGCAUGUGAGGUGGAUCCAUUCAAUAAAGAGGAGUACCAACCCUACAAUUUUUUAAAGAAAUUGUAGAACUAAAAUUUUAAACUAAUUCAGGGCACCAAGUGAAUUAUUUGGCUCAUCAAUAAAGAACUCAUUGAGGAACUCCUCAAUAAAUUUGUGCUUCUGAAAGGAACUCGUGUAAAUUUUCUAUUUUCAAAAGUUGUGGAAGAGUUAGAUUUCUAAUUAUUUUGGACCUCAAACCCAAAAUCCCCUCAAGAGAUCUUAGUGGUUUGACACGAUGGCAAACGUGCUAAAAUCACCAUAUCUAUUUCAUCACUAUAACUUUUAUUAUGUUAGUUACAACCUUACAAUAUUUCUUUUAAAAAAAAAGCCAGUAAGCUUAAUUAUAAUUACACUCUGUAUACAAAUCAGUGCCAUAAUGUAGAUGUCGUAUUUGACACACACACACACACACACACACACUCUCUCUCUCUCUCUCUCUCUCUCUCUCUCUCUCUCUCUCUCUCUCUCUCCCCGUAUAAUAAUACACGUCGACCAAAAUCCAAAUUAAGUCAUCAUCCAAUCCGUUGAACCCAAUGUGGCUAUCCCUCUAAUAUAAUCUUUGUUCCACACUCGUGUUUUUAUUUUAAUGUGGCUUAACAUGUGGUGCCCAGUUCUUUAUUGCAAUAAUCCUUAAUUAACCCAGGCCCCCAAUUUAGAAUACCAAGCUUUUGCUUUCCCUUGCUUUGUAAUGUUUAUAUAAGUGUAGUAAUUAAC